Molecule: long non-coding RNA, 47120 nt
Filed under: Prunus persica (peach)
Lineage: Eukaryota; Viridiplantae; Streptophyta; Magnoliopsida; Rosales; Rosaceae
Description: long non-coding RNA (PPER_LNC004544)
Source: RNAcentral
CUACACAUAGUAUUAGCCUACGUAAGGUCAUUACGGCGCCGUUUCCCUUUUUAAUUGGCGUAGUUCAACUCAUCAUCCACCCAAGUUCAUUUCGUUCAAAGCUAUAAAUAACCCCUCAAACCAUUCAACUUUCCCACCACCACUCCUCACUCCUUCAACUCAUUAACCUCUCUCUCUCUCUCUCCUUCAACUCAUUAACCUCUCUCUCUCUCUCUCUCUCUCUCAUUUUCAUCCGCAAAUGGCGAACCGUAGAAGCCUCUUUUCUCUCUCACUUAUCUUUGUGUUCAUGAUCAACUCAGCCAUAGCCACUCCAGUCACAUACAAUGUGGCCAGUUUAGGAGCCAAAGCAGAUGGCAAGACUGACUCCACAAAAGCCUUCCUCUUUGCAUGGGCUAAAGCUUGUGCCUCGAUGAAUCCCGGUGUCAUUUAUGUGCCGGCAGGAACGUUCUUUCUUCGCGAUGUGGUGUUCAGUGGGCCUUGCAAGAACAAUGCCAUCACCUUCCGCAUUGCCGGAACCCUUGUGGCCCCGUCGGAUUACCGGGUCAUCGGUAAUGCAGCUAACUGGAUUUUCUUUCACCAUGUAAACGGGGUUACCAUAUCAGGUGGAAUUCUUGACGGCCAAGGCACGGCCUUGUGGGCUUGCAAGGCCUCUCAUGGCGAGAGUUGUCCCAGCGGAGCAACGGUAAUUAAUUCACUACUUUAAAUAUCAUAUUCAUGACACCAUUAAAUAUCAAAUUCAUGACACCAUUAUUUUGUGCUUCAUUAUUAGUGAGAAUUUUAAAGGUCAACGUACGUACAAUUUGCUUUAUUAUUUGCUACCAAUUGAAUUGAGGGUUUAUAAAAUAAGUUUAAACUCUACAGAACGUAAUCAAAUGGACAUGAUAAAUUGUACCACAAGCUUAGCUUGAUCAAGUAAUUUCGUGUAUAUAUGUGCAGACUUUGGGUUUUUCCGACUCAAACAACAUCGUGGUGAGUGGAUUGGCAUCCCUAAACAGCCAAAUGUUCCACAUAGUCAUCAACGACUGCCAAAAUGUGCAAAUGCAAGGUGUCAGGGUUUCUGCUUCCGGGAACAGCCCUAACACCGAUGGCAUUCAUGUCCAAAUGUCAUCUGGUGUCACAAUCCUCAACUCCAAGAUUGCAACCGGUGACGAUUGUGUCUCAAUUGGCCCCGGAACCUCAAAUUUGUGGAUAGAAGGCGUUGCUUGUGGACCUGGCCAUGGAAUUAGGUACGACAUCAAAAUUAUAUAUUUAUCCAUGAUUGAUCAAACUAGCUAAAUGCAUACUAUUUCAUAAUAUAUGUUAUAAUGUAUAUCUUUUUUCUUCGUUGCUUAAUGACAUUUGAACUUAGGACAUCUUUCAAUAAAGUGGAGAUUAAUUGGUUGCUAGUAGAGAUUCAUUGCCUACAAAAAGUAUAUCUUUCUUUUGGGUGGAUGUUCUAGUUGUAAAUUUAACAUUGCUUUAUUUGAUGGUUCAGCAUUGGAAGUCUAGGCAAGGAGCAAGAAGAGGCCGGUGUACAAAAUGUAACAGUUAAAACGGUUACCUUUACUGGUACUCAGAAUGGUCUAAGAAUCAAGUCAUGGGGGAGGCCAAGCACUGGGUUUGCUAGAAAUAUUCUUUUCCAACAUGCUACAAUGGUCAAUGUCGAAAAUCCUAUUGUCAUAGAUCAACAUUAUUGCCCCGACAACAAAGGGUGCCCUGGUCAGGUAAGAUAUCAUUCUUGCUCUAACGGUCAAUUCCCAGAGUUUAAUAUUACAACUAAAUUUUCUCUUCUUCACUUUCAUAGUGUAACGUUUUUGAUAAAAACGUUGGCAUCGCCAAAUUAUAACUGUCUAAUUUCGAAACAUAUCAAAAGCUUUCUUGGGCUUCCACCUAGAAGAGCCAAUAAUUUUAGACCCAAAGCAAAUCCAAUAACUCCUUCUUCCAUGGGCUUGCUCUCCUACUACUUACAAAGGUCGAGCCUUGCCCAUUGUAACCUUUGUAACUUAUUAAUUUCAUUGUAUGUGCAAUGAGAUUGAGGGUUGUAGCUUAAGUGGUUAACAAUAUUUACUCAUGUAUUCGAAGUUCUAGAUUUAAUUCCCCUCUUUUCCAAUACCAUUUUUAUCAAAAUGACUUCAUCGUAGCUUAGCCAAAAAAGCAUUAAACUUCCCAUUAAGCCGAAUUACCAUGCUAUAAUGCUUGUUCACCUUCUGUUUUAUCAAAAGCUGGAAAUCUGACUUCCUAUUGUUUUUUUUCUUUUGUCAAUUUUGUUUUUCGAUAGGUUUCCGGAGUUCAAAUUAGCGAUGUGACAUACGAAGACAUACACGGUACAUCAGCAACAGAAGUUGCAGUAAAAUUUGAUUGCAGUCCCAAGCACCCUUGCAGCGAGAUCAAAUUGGAGGAUGUGAAGCUUACUUACAAGAACCAAGCAGCUGAGUCUUCAUGUAGCCAUGCAGAUGGAACAACUGAGGGUGUGGUUCAGCCUACAAGUUGUUUGUAGAGUGGAAAAAUAUGAACUGCUUGUAGAAGUAUUGAAAUCCAAAAGUUUGCCCUCCAGUACUAAGGACAAAUGAAAAGUGAAUUAUACGAUUUAUAUAGGAAGAAUGAGCUUGUGUUGUUGGCAGCCUACUUGGGCUUCCCUUGAGCCUGGCCGUUCAAUUAGUUUAGUUUGUUCAAACUCGUCCACUUCGAUGGGUGUUUAUGUUAUGAAUUGUUGUAAGAUUAUGUUCGGGAUACGUUAAAUUUAUAAGAUUAAAUUUUAUGUUGAUGGCUAAUGUGGCAUUUGACAUAGGAUUCAAUAUUCUAUCAAUUUAAUUCACAAUUUUAUUAUAAUCGAAGCACACAUUAAAUAGUAAAAAUUUGGUUCAAGAAACAAAAGGAUUUGAAGUCUCGCAUGAACUUUUUGGUUGGAGCAUUUUCUCAUGUCAAAUUUUACCCGUUAAAAAUUUAUUAUGAUAUUUUAACAUUUCGGUUGGAGUAUUUUUUUCAUGUCAAAUUUGACCCGUUAAAAAUUUACUAUGGUAUUUUAGCAUUUCGGUUGGAGAUGUAUAAAUCUUAAAAAUGCAUUCAAGAUGCAUUUUUGUUUCUUAAGCUUUGAGCUUUAGGUAAUUAACUUUAAAUGUUGUUGGGCACCUUGCACUAGUUGAUUAAAGAAAAAUAGACCCGAAGCAAGAUUCCUUGUAGUUGCCAAUUCGAAGUUUUCUUUAUCGCUACAUACUUACUGGUCUACAAGUUCUCUCUCUAAUACAUAAUUUGACAUAAAUAAAUACAGUGAAGAGUGCAUUGACUAAACAGAAAAAAAAACAAAAAAAGCAGCACGUAAGCAAUUACGUGCAUUUGGUGUAAAAGCUAAAGGCCUCUGAUUUAUGUAAGCAGUUACGGUAAUCAUAUUAUAUUAUAUGUAUCUUAGUUCUGCAAUUGUAACAGGAAUAAUAUUGUUUUGUUAUCCCCAAUCAAUAAUACAAUGAUACGUGAAAAAGUUAUUUAACAUGUCAUUGCGUUAUUAGCUGGGGAUAGCAAACAGUGCUAUCCCCAUUACAUGAAAGUCUUUCUCCUGCAUAUCCUAUUAUACUAUUAUAAAACUCAAUUGGUCAAUCAUAGUGAAAAAAAUAUAGUGAAAGAAAAAAGAAGAAGAAGAAAAUAUCAAUUAAGCCCCUCUUAUAUUGAACACUUCAAUAAUAAAAUAAAAAUUGCAUAUGGAGUAAAGUCAGUCAGUUAAGAUAGUAUGCUAGUUCUUUUGCACCUGAGUUCAAUUUCCUUCCCCGAACAUUUUCAAAUAAAUAAUAAUAAAAUAAAAUGUGAAUUUGAUAGUCAAUGUCGUAGUAAAAUAUGGUUUUUUAGUAUCAAUAUUAAGGAAAGCCAUUGUUCUUUCUAGCAGAAUGCCCGCCACUGCUAGAGAGAGAGAGAGAGAGAGAGCGGAAUGGCAGAAGUGAGUAACAAGCAGGUGAUACCGAGGGAGUAUGUCACUGGCUUUCCCAAAGAGUCAGACUUGUACGUGAAUAGCACUGCUACUAUCAAGUUGAAGCUUUCUGAGGCCCCCGAGCAUGAGGGUUCUUCAAAGAAACUAGUUCUAGUGAAGAAUCUUUACUUGUCCUGCGAUCCCUACCAACGACUAUUUAUGGAAAGAAUCGAAGGCCUCAGCAGCCAAUCCACUUCCUCCUAUACGCCUGGUUCUGUAAGCAAAACCCAUCAUAUAUCUUUUCCUUUCAAUUUCUGUAAACAUAUAUACCAAAUGUUAUGCUCAAAUAUAUAUUAAUUGUUAAACAUUGUUCCCUUAAAAAAAACAAUUUAUUGCAAAAUUGGAAUAUACAAGAGGUAACUCUGCACAAAUAUUAAUGACAAGAUGAGGUGGCUAAAAGCACUGUUAAUGUCUAUCAGCGCGCAAUGAGCACGAAUAACUGUGAUUAUUAAGUAGUAGGAGCUGAUAGUUGUUUUUGUUACCACAUCCUAUGCCACAAAUAUUAAUUAUUACCAAUUAUUCUUCUAGUAAUGCUUGUUUUUUUGUUGAUGGCAACAUUGGGAGGAGGGAAUCAAAUACAAGUUUGAUCAUAUGAUUAAUUUAAUUUUGUUGGUGUAAACGUGCAGCCAAUAUACGGGUAUGGAGUGGCUAAAGUUUUGGACUCUGGGCACCCAGAUUUGAAGGCAGGUGACUUAGUUUGGGGGACUACCUAUUGGGAAGAGUACAGCCGAAUCCCUGAACCCGAAGGCCUGAUCAAAAUCCAGCACACUGAUGUACCUCUAUCCUAUUAUACUGGAAUUCUUGGUAACAAGUCAAACCUAUUUUAGAUCAUGAUGAUAUGUGUUGGUUUAGAUACGUAAGUGUAUUUUUUGUAAUUUCAUUUCAGGUAUGCCUGGUUUGACCGCUUAUGUUGGUUUCUAUGAAAUUUGUUCUCCUAAGAAAGGAGAACAUGUCUUCAUUUCAGCAGCAGCUGGUGCUGUUGGUCAGCUUGUUGGACAAUUUGCAAAAUUAAUGGGUUGUUAUGUUGUUGGAAGUGCUGGCAGUAAGGAAAAGGUACGAACUUGAGAAAUCUUUGAACUUCAAAUUAAUAUUAUCUACACCAUUUUUUCUUGUUUGGGUUGUAUUUUGCUGUUGUUAUUUGGGCCAACUUUGGUGUUGGUUUGGUUUGGGGCCUCUGUUUGUGCGCUGGGACUACAAUGAGUGGAAAGUUAUAAGGGGUAAGUUAUAAGGGGUUCACUUUAUAGCCAUCAGAUCAAUCCAAGGGCUGGGGAGAAUUGAGAUAAAGUUUCACAAUUGGGUAGGUGAGGAACCCAAACCCGAAUUGAAUAUCCAGCACGUCCAAAAAGAAGAAGAAGAGGGAAACACGUUCGAAAAAGAAGAAGAAGAGGCAAGUUCGAAGUUUGAACAGAAAGAACUCAUCUCUCUAAAACCCAGAGGUCUGAGAUACCCAAUGAAGGCAACGGCUAACGACAGUUGAAGGCAACGAUUCGCCACUCCGUUCUCCAGACCCUGAAAAAGUAUUUAUUUGGAGUAGAAGGGGCAAAGGUGUGGAUUCCAAAUCAAUGAAGGGGCGAAGCAGUGGAAGGGGAAGGGGAGAAGCUAUAAUCGUUGGAAGUGGUAGGUUCCAUUUGUGGAGCAAAGAAACAGAAAGACCCCACACAGACACCUUGCAAUAACCAGCAUUUGGUGAGUAAUUUAUGGAAUUUGAGUUUAGGGUUAGAGUAAUGGUUUUCCUCAAUUUGUAGCAUAAAUUUUGUUGGAUUUGGCAUCUCUUCGUUGUGCUUGAGUUGCAUGUUAAUUUUUGCUUAGGUAUAUGUUAAAAAAAGAAUGAAAAUCAAGUCAAUAACAAGUGAAUAACAUGUCAAUAAUGAUAUGAAUAAGAUAAUGGUGUUGAAUUGGAGGAGGCCCUCAAAACCUUCCACAUUUGAAGCAGUGCAUAGUGCAGAUUAAGAAGAGGCGGUAGAAUAUAUAUAUAUAUAUAUAUAUAUAUAUUUUAUGAAGUAAAUAUGAUUUCCUUUGUUACUAAAUUUGCCUGAGAAACAUUUGAACAGAUAAUAAUAAACUCAUGAAUAGAAGUGCAAAGCAUUUGAUGAGUAAUUUAAGGAAUUUGAGUUUAGGGUUAGAGUAAUGGUUUUCCCCAAUUUGUACCAUCAAUGUUGUUGGAUUUGGCAUCUCUUAUUUGUGCUUCAAUUGCAUGUUAAUUUUUGCUUGGGUAUAUGUUAAAAAACGAAUGAAAAUAGAGUCAAUCACAUGUCAAUAACAUCUCAAUAACAUGUCAAUAACAUGUUAGUAAUGAUAUGAAUAAGAUAAUGGUGUUAAAUUGGAGGAGGCGCUCAAAACCUUCCACAUUUGAAGCAGUGCAGAGUGAAGAGUACCUCUCUGGCCCUAGAAUUUAUAUAUUUUGUGAAAUAAAUAUGAUUUCAUUUGUUACUAAAUUUGCCUAUGAGAAAUGAGAACAGAUAAUAAUAAACUCAUGAAUAAAAGUGCAAAGCAUUUGAAAUGAAGGUUGAUCUAUGACGAUUGUGGGUGACUGAAGAAAAAGCUAGAAAGAAAGAAGGAUGUGGCAAUUGCUUAGCAAGCAGAUAGCAGAGUAGAUGCUUUGCUUUGCUUCCUUCCACUAUAUUUCUUAUUUAUUUAUUUUGUGUUGUGUAUGAGAUGACAAUAAUUGUCAUGUGUGUGAAGUGCAGAACUUGCCUACAUUGCACUCACACGAGUAUGGAUCCAUAAAUAAAACACGUGAAAUUGUUUGUAAUUCACAUAAUCAUUGCAUUAACAGGUAUUUGCACAAAAUUUGUCAUAUUGCUUUGAUGAUGUUAAAGCCUAUGAUCAGUAAUCCGUAUGCUCAUGUACUUUGUAAAAUUUGUAAUGUGCCUGGUUGACUAGUUGUGAUUGUGCAAAUACGUGGCAGUAUAUGUGUUCACGUUAUUUCACAUUGUAUUUGAGGAAAUGGGAUCCAACGUGGAGCUGGUAUGGCCAGAGGCAGAGGCAUAUUCGUCACGGGUGAACAACUGCUCACAUGCAAAUUCAUCUCUAGCUGCAAUUCGAGCGAAGUUGAGUGCGGAACAAUUAGAACAAUUCAAGACAUCAUGCUUUGGCCAUCUUCUGAAUAUAGAUAAGAUUCAGUUUAGCGGGCAGAUUGUGCAUGGGGCUGUGUUGCGUAGAGUAGCGGGGCAGGGUGUGAAAGACUUGGAUGGACUGAGUUUCUUAUUAGGGUGUGACGUUGCUCAGUUCACUCGUCAGGAUUUCUGUUUGAUCACAGGGCUUCGUUUUGGGGAAGUGCCUGAAGUUUCCAGUGGAGAGAGUGAUGUAAUCAGACUUCAGAAAAGAUAUUUUAUAGACGAAGGAAUUACAUGCAAUGCUUUAGAAGAAGCAUUUAUGGGGUGCACAGAGGAAGAUGACAUCUACAAGCUAGCUCUUGUUUACUUUGCUGAGUUAGUGGUUUUGGGAAGGGACAAACAUUUGAACAUCAAUCUAAAUUACCUGACCCUUGUAGAGGACUUGGAUGCGUUCAACAGGUAUCCGUGGGGUUCGGUGUCCUUUGACAAAACCCAAGACAGUCUAUUUUCUGCACCAACAAAGUAUGUGAAAAGCUUGCAAAAUGAAGAGGGAAGAGGGAAGGGGAAAAGUAAGGUAACGGGAACAAGCCGGAGAAAUGAGAAGGGCAGGAAGGAUAAGCAUGGUGAAGCGCAAAGGAGUGGCUGGAGUUUUAAAGGUUUCACGUAUGCUUUCCAGGUACAUGGUAAUAAUGUUCAUGUGAGUUAUGUUUUGUUUUUCUUUAAAACAUAAAUAAUGACUUUUGUCCUGUGAAUUGUGUAGAUUUGGGUAUAUGAAUUAAUUCCUAGAAUGGCGGACCUGAAUUACUGCAAGGUUGUUGAUCCGACCGCUGUCCCGCGUAUUUUGCGAUGGAGAACUACUACGUCUGUUCCAGAGAUGAGAAAGUUGAACAAUUAUUUUUUCCAGAGCAAAGAGGUUUGGUUUGCAGCCCUUGGAACUAUUGAUAAGAUUGAAUGAAAUUUUGAAGUAGAAUGAUUUAAUAUGACUGUGGUUUGUAUUCUGAAACAGUCAGUUCAGUUGCGGGCGCUAUGUCCGAGUGAAGAGGAAAUGAGACAGCCAUAUUGGAGUUGGCCACAGGAUCGCCCUGAUGAGACAGCCAUAUUGGAGUUGGCCACAGGAUCGCCCUGCUGUUGUCUCGGCAGAGUCAAUUCCUUCUUUAUGUGGUGAUCUUGAUCAGUUGAACAAGGUGGUAAGCUUGUUGAGGUCCGAGUUGUUUCAAGUAAAGCGGGAAAAAGACGUCCUUCACUUAAAGGUCAUACGGAUGGAAAAACUGUUGGACCAAUGUUUAGGUCCUCAGUUUGAGCAGGAAGUAAGGAGGGACCUAGCUUUACUGAAACAGAGGACGAAGCGUUGUGUCGUCUCACAUCUAUUUAGGGGAUAUCGGGAAUUGGAUGACAUUCAAUGGGAUGAAGGGCCAAGUAACAGAAAUGAGGGAGAGGAAAAGGAAGAUGAAGGGAUUGAAGGGGGUGAAGGGCCAAGUAAUAGAAAUGAGGGAGAGGAAAAGGAAGAGGAGGGGAUUGAAGGAGAGGAAAAGGAAGAGGAGGGGAUUGAAGGGGGUGAAGUGCAAGGAAUACCAAGUGAGGUAGAGGAAGGGCAAAGGAAAAGAAGUGAAGGAGAGCAAGUGCAAGUAAAAAGUAGCAAAGGAGAGGAAGCCCAAAGACAGAGCAGUGAGGGAGAGGAAGUGAAAAGAAAAAGCAGUAAGGGAGAGAAACUGCAAAGGAAAAAAAGGGAGGGCAAGGAAGUGAAAACACAAAGAAGUGAGGAAAAGGAAGUGCAAAGAAACCAAUGUGAGAAAGAAGAUAAUGAAGUUAUGUUGCUUGGGGAUGACAUUGGCGAGAGCACGGAGGGGACACUGCUUGAGUUUACUGUCGGGGACAUUGAUUUGGAUCAACCUACAGCUGUGCUAUCUCAGUUGAACGUGUGGUUGAAUGAUAAAGGUAAAGCUGUGGCACAAGGGGUCCAAUUACGGAAAAGGAAGAGGAUCAUUCCUAUGUGGAAGAUCAUUGAAGGCAUUGAAUUGGUUCCAAAAACUGGGGCACAGACAACCGGACUGAAGAUGUUAGACCCAAUGAAGGCGAUUCCGCAUGAUGAUCUGGUGAAUUUGCUGAAACUUUGUUGGGAAUGGCGCCAGGACCCAAAGUAAGUCCCUUGCAAUUAUAAGAUAGAAGCACGACUGUAUAUAAUUUUUAAUAUACAGUGUUCUAAAACUGUUUUAUAUUCAUAGUUUAGUGAUGCAAUUUGGCAACGUGGAAGCUGAGAUUGAAUUCUUCGCUUCCCUCGUGAAAGCUGAUGGUUGGCUGAAAGGAGAUGUAAGUGUAAUUGAUUAUGCAUUUGUUUUAAUGUAUAUAGAUUAUGAGAUUGACAAGAACAACAUGUUGCAGCACAUUGAGUUGGGGUUGUAUCUCAUCCGGAAGCGACAACAACAGUUUGAGGAAGUAGAAAUAGCGGACUGGACAACGACAGAUGUUUUUUUUAUGGUAUGUCAUCGGCCUUGACCAAGUGCCGUUAAUAAUUACACAUUUUCCAUACAGACAAUAGUGGAGGUGUUUAACCAUUGAUUGUUUUGUAUUUCACAGAAUCACAUUCGAACUUGCUUUGCGGAUAAUAAAAGAAAAAAACAGCAGCUUGGGUGGAAAAUCAGAAAAAGUUUACUAAACGUUGUAAAUGGGAAGGUUCCUCCGUGUGGGAUGGAUUGGCAGAACGUCUAUACGGUGUAUACCCCAGUUAUGUUGACGAAGUACAAGCAUUGGGUGGCUGUAAUGAUUGAUCUGGUAUUGUGUGAAAUCAAAGUGUACGAUUCAAAGGUUUCACUAAUUCCAGAUGACAUCGUAAAGGAAGAACUCGCCCCGCUAUCAAUUAUGCUUCCAAAUCUUCUCAACACCAUCGACUUUUAUGAAGAAGGUGUUUAUGCAAACAAUUGCAUGCGAGAUUGGUGGUGUCCGUGGCCAAUAGAGCGUGUGGAUGUUCCACAACAGUCUAAUGAGUAAGCACAACUUGCAAUUUAAUUUUAUUACUUUCAAUUGUCAAUUACGUUAGAAUGUCAUUAGUUGAAUUGAUCGAGUUCUUGUUUUGCUUCAGAGGCGAUUGUGGCAUGUUUGUGUUAAAGUACAUUGAGCUUAUCAGCGCUCAGCUUUCGUUAGCUAUUUGCACCUCGCACAACAUGCCUUUUUUUCGGUUGAAAUUGGCUGCGGAGAUAACAAGGGGAGAUGCUUACUUCCCAUGAUAUUGGUUGAAGAUGACAAAUGGUACAUGAGAAGGUUUUGGGAAUGUCCAUUCUCAAACUAAUGUAAAUACACAAUAGAGACGUACGUGUCCUUUUCGAAUUCUACCGCUAACUCCUUCAUGACAUUUACAUGUUUGUUAACCAAACUGCAUUGAAUUGGAAUUUUAAGACUGCAUAUGUUAAUUGGGAUUUGAAGAUGGCUUUUUAAGUGUAUUACACCAUUGCAAAGUGAUAUGUCAUUGUUGAUGCAAGCCACCAUUAUUCGCAAUGAGUUGCAUCAUAAUAGGUGUGUAAACAUGCGAAAGGUUUUCGGCAGCUCAGUAGCAUAAAAGUAGAAACAAUUACAAUAUACACAAAAUGAACAACAAUUCACUUGCGUUUGGACAAGCAAUACAGACACAACAGACAAACAAUAUACACAAAAUUGGCCUGCCAUAUACAGACAUACACACAGUAGACAUGCAAUAUACACACAGUAGACAUGCAAUAUACACACAAUAGACAUGCAAUAUACACACAAUACACAUGCAAUAUACACACAAUACUCCCUUAACACACACAAUAGACAUGCCCUUGCCCACAAUAAUGAUGCAAUAUACUUCAGUCCCCAAGUACACCAACCAUAAGGAAGUCGUAUUGAAUAGGAUAUUAAACUUAACAGUUGUUCUUCCUACUAAAAGAAAGAAUAACGUCCGUUUCCCCCCUUCAUUCUUACUUCAGUGAUACUUGUGGCCCCAAUAAACAUCCAAUAUUGGGUCAAGGAUAUUCCAUAUACAUGCAGCAAACUAUCAAUAAACCUUCAAUAAACAUUCAAUAUCGGUUCUAUAACAUGCGAAAUACAUGCAGUUAACAAAUAUUACAAAAUGGGUUUAGGGUCUCAUUGGUGGUGCGUGCAACAUGUCUUGUGCGGAAGAACUUUCACAAUCUUUGAAACCAUGCAGUUAAAUGAUCCUUAAAAGAACAAAUAAAAUGACAAUUGAUACAACUAAUAAAACUAAUACCAAGUCCUUAAUGGACUUCAGCAUGUUCAGCACUCUAGCAUCAUACGUGUCAUCUUGAUGUUCUGCUUCAGCGGAGGUUACAUCAACCCAUUCGAAUCCAUUGCAACUGGUGGCUCCCUAAUUGCAGGCAUCAUAUAUGGAAUAUAAUUCUGUUAGAGUUAGACAUGGGUUUAUUUUGACCCACAUACAUAUUAUUGAAAUUAAAACUUACAUAGGAGGUUAGACACUUCCAGAAUGGCUUCCCUCGAUUUUUGUCAGAUUUUGAAACCCGAAGCACCAUUGUAGCUCCACAAUACUGACACCUCUUUGUUUGAGCAGGAGAUGAAGACGAAGACAUGUUGAAUCUUCUCAGUUGUACCUCUUCUCACUCAGAUCUUCUCACUGAAACCUCUUCGGACUCAUACCUUCUCACUCAUCGUUGUCAUUCAUACCCCUUCACUCAUAACCCUAAACUUGUCACUCAGCUCUCUCUCAUCUCUGCCCAAAUCGAGUUAUAUUUCUUUUUUUUGGGAUCAUUUGGUGGGUUGGUCACGAUCUCGACACCCGUACCGUCGGCAUUGCGACAUCUUUUAGCCCGAAAAGCAAUAUAAACUACUUCACUACCAAAUAUAUUUUCUGAAAAAUGAGGGGACACUGCUUCAAAUUUAUUAUUUUAUAUAUAUUUCAUUAAGGCAACUAGUUGGAUAAGAAUCCGUCAUUAUUGGUUCCAUUUGAAUAACAUUACUAGGGGUAGUUGGGUGUGGGAAAAUGAAAAAGUAUAUGAUGGGACCUUCUGUCACUACUCAGUAAUCCAUCACAUUUGUAUCAAUGAAUUUGAUAGUGGGAUAAUCCCACAAAUGGCUAUGCAAAUAGCCAUUUAAUGAACUUUUUGACUGUCUGACUCUGUAUGCACCGUUAUGACGUUUUCCCUUCUUUUGUCUUCAGUUUUAAUUCACUUGGGUUCAGUUUCUUUAAAAAUGGUCAACUUGGAAAAACCCCAACUGGAAACACCUUUUCAAAACACUAUAAACAGAGGCUAAAACAAAACGUGUACCCCAAAUAUUCUCAUUUAUCCCCUCUGCCACUCCUCAAAUCGUUCCAUUCCAAAAACUUUUCAAUGAAUUCGAAACACUUCACUACAGUCGGAGGAAAGAGAAGGAAGCAUCUCCAUUUCGAUAUGCCCGAAGCCUUCAUCCCGGAGUCCGCUUGGUUUCAAGUGAUGUUAUACGUGGCAACCGAAUCAUCGGAAGAUCUCUUCCGUAUGGCAUCUGUGUGCCCAUUGUUCCAAACUUUGGCAAACAGUCCACAAGUGUGGAACACCAUUUCAAUGGCAAAGUACCCACACCAUCCUAGCUGGUACCGUGCCAGACCUGCGGUCCAGCAUUUCUUGCAACAAUGCAGGGCUUGCGAUAACCCUGAGUCGAUAUUUAGAGAAGCAUUCGAUAUUUUUUUCAGGGCCAGUAAGGUGGAAGCGUUGUAUGGGAUGCGCAUUGCAGCCACGGCAGGCCAUAUGGAAGCGGCAUAUGUAGUUGGACUACUUGGUAUAUCCGGAAUUGGUCAGUCAAAAGAGGAUGCAUUACAAUUCUUGUGUUCUUUGAAUCAACGUAACAACAUUGAUAUGAAAGGAACCAGGGAUGCUUUGACACGAAGAUUAACCGGACCAAGAGUUGCAAGACAUAUCGUAGAUAUAUUUGACUAUGGGAAGAUUAAGUUCAAUCGCUGCAGCACUUGUAACAACAAUGAAUGGUAUUUUGUUAUUCAAGGCUGGCCUAGUGAAGACAAGAUAAAUCCUGCCUUCUAGACUUGUUGCAAUCGAUGCAAAUGGCACCGUGAGAGUAUUUUUUGGUUCAAACUGAUGCGUGAGUAUGUUGUGCGAGGGAAUCAUGUAUUUUUGCAUUAGUUUUAGUACGAAUUUACGGUUUUGAUGCAUUGUGGACUUACUUCUCUUCACUUCUAGGUUGGCUGGCUACGUUGUACAAAUGUUGUUUAAAUGUUGUUUAAAUGUUGGUAUUUUGUCAUAAACCGUUUUAUAUAUAAAUGUAUAAUAUUUAUUAUAUAGCGGAAUUAUUACUUACAUCAUAGACGGCUACGAAUGACAUUUUACUGACACAGAUAUUUUGCUCACCCACCCCAAUAUUCAUAUUUGGUAAACGAAAAGUCAUGCAUGGAGUAAAUAGGUGUCUUUUCACCAAUGCUUGGGAAUGACAUUUUCCCACUUAGCAUAUUCGACAGGAUUUGGUUACACGUUUCUUAAGCAAAAGUUGAACAGUGAAUGACGUUGAAUAAUUUGUUUGUGUGGAAGGAGUACAAUGGAUGACUUGUAUAUUUCCAUAUUAUGUUUGAAAACAUCCCUUCAACCUAAAAAAUAAAAAAAUUAACAAAUUGAAGAACAGAGAAACCGAUGAGCACUACAAAUGGCCUAUUCGCACGGAAAAUAAAAUUGUUUUAAACAAGUUGGACUAAAUAUAAUUAACAAAUGGACAGCCUAAAAAGUAAUAUCAUAAUAAUUAUAAUAAUUGUGGAUUAAUAAUAAUAAAAUACUAAUGUAGCAUAACCAUGAAACAGGGAAUUCAGUAGGAAGAUGAAAUCUCAAUAAGUUCGUUGAAAUGUUCGGAUCGUUUUUCUAAUUUUUGUGUAUUUAGUUCUGAAUUUUCCAAGAAAAAAAGUAAUUAAAUAAUAAUUUAGGGUAAAAUGGGAUGAUGUGGCCAUGUUGACUGACGUACACUUGUGCAAGUACUCAUAAGUGAGGGGCUGAGAUCGCGCCAGGUGUCUUCUUGGAAUUAGGGUUGGCUAUUUUAGUGGAAAAAUCCUUGAAAAUAGGUAAAAAAUAGUAGGAAAUUCCUAUUCUAGGUUGGGAAAAUUACCCGCGCCUCCUUGUGACGUCAUAAAACUAGGAGAACCUAUAAAUCAUCCGUCUCGCAAUGAAAUAAUCCAAAAUGUUUUACAUAACUCACUUCCCUCUUUACCCUAAGUAUUGAUGUUUGUUAACUUGAACUUCAAUAACCUACUUCAACAAGCAUCUCCCGUUAAUGUUGGGAAUAAUUGUCUAAAAUGCGUAACAAUGAAUCGGAGAAUUCAGCAAGGGAGAUGGAGUGUCAAUGAGUUCGUAGCAAUUUUCGGAAAUAAUUUUGAAUUUUUGUGUAUUUAGUUAUGAAUUUUGUAAGACAAAGUAAUAAAAUAAUAAUUUAGGGUAAAAUGGGAGGAUGUGGCCAUGUUGACUGACGUACACUUGUGCAAGUAGUCAAAAGUGCCGGGCUGAGAUCGCGCCAGGUGUCAUCUUCUUUUCAAUUUUGGAUUCUUUUGUUAAAAAAUCUUUGAAACUAAGUAAUAAAUAGUAGGAAAAUCCUAAAAAUGCCCCCAAAAUUACUCCGGCCUACUUGUGACGUCAUAAAACUAGGAGAACCUAUAAAUCAUUCGUCUCGCAAUGAAAUAAUCCAAAUUGUUUUACAUAACUCACUUUCCUCUUAACCCUAAGUAUUGAUGUUUGUUAACUUAAACUUGAAUAACCUACUUCAACAAGCAUCUCCCGUUGAUGUUCGGAAUUAUUUUUAAAAAUGCGUAACAAUGAAUCGGAGAAUUCAGCAAGGGAGAUGGAGUGUGAAUGAGUUCGUAGCAAUUUUCGGAUAAUUUUUUUAAUUUUUGUGUAAUUAGUUCUGAUUUUUGUAAGGAAAAGUAAUAAAAUAAUAAUUUAGGGUAAAAAGGGAGGAUGUGGCCAUAUUGACUGACGUACACUUGUGCAAGUAGUCAUAAGUGACGGGCUGAGAUCGCGCCAGGUGUCCUCUUGCUAUUAUUUUGGCUUUUUUAGUGCAACAAUCUGUGGACAUAGGUAAUAAAUUCUACGAAAAUCCAAAAAAUGCCCGGAAAAUGAGAAAAUGAAAAUUAUUUGUACAUAACUCACUUUCCUCUUAACCCUAAUUCACGUGUAACACGUAUAUUUCGGAUAAUAUUCGAUAUAUAAUUUGUAAUAAUACAAUAUUUAGUUUCACUAUAUACAAUAAUAUGUUUUGUUAUAAUAAUGUACAUAAAUAAUAAUUGCACAUGCUUUGAAGCCAUCAUUGCAACUACGCCUAGAGCUUUCAAGACGUCAGUUCGUAUUCAAUAAGUUGUCCACAUGCAAGUGCACCUACAGUUUUCAACACGUCAGAGGUAUUCAAUAAGUUGUCCACAUGCAACUGCACCUAGAGUUAUUAACACGUCAGAGGUAUUCAAUAAGUUGUCCAUAUGACGCCGCAUUGGGAAUCAGUAAUAUAUUUUCAAUCAUGUCCAAUCACAUAAAAUAAUGGCAUACUUUUUCUCAAUAACCUCACACAAGUGAAGCAAUUUUAAAACCCUUACUGAAUAUUUGUCCUAGUCUAUAUGAGUGAUUAUAUAAUCAGUCUGCAUUUUUUUCACAGUAUAUGUUAACUUUGAGAGGGAUUCCACAAACAUAAAAUAUAAAGAAAGCAAGAAAUAGUAGGAGAUGAACCAGUAGAAAAAACAAUAUAUAAAUGGUACAUAAUAAUUCCAUAACCUUGUCACAAACGCACUCACAAAAGCUUUUCCAUAAACCUUGUCCUAACAUAUAAUAAAUAAAGGCAACAUUGCAUAUGAUGCAACCAUGUCCAAAUCUGAUACGUGAUCAAAAACAAAUGGACAUGGCAGCAACAUAUGACUGAAGUAGAUGGGCUCUUUGCAUCUUGUGUUUUCGUAAUUAAAGACAUCAAAAUAUUAAGGUUUAAAUCUUCCAUAGUAGUUAGCAUCAAAAUAGCUUUGAAGCAGAGUGUAAAGAAAAUUCCAAUUCCACUGAUUUGCCUCUGCUCAAACACGAGAACCAAAAUGGUUACUUCCCUUGCUGAGUAUAUUUGGUGACGUCGGAAACGGUAAUAGAUGAUCAAUCAAACCCAGGUACGACGAGUUUUGCAUAGGAUCGGAAGUAGUCGAAUCCAGCUUGCAUCACACGCUUCUUUGACUCCACUGCAUUAGAUGAGUUCUUGUAUUUUUGAACAGCUACACUCCGAAGUCGUUUGUGUCUACGCUUCAUGCGCUGCAACUUCACCCUAUCCAGAUUGGCCUGCCUUUUGUCAUCUUCAAUUUGGCCUUCAACAAAUUCCAAACGUGCCCUUGCCCUUUGGAUUUCAUCACCAAGUUGAAGAUGCCUCUCCUUCCAAAAAGCAACAACUCUUUCAGACUCAAAACUUCCAACAAAAUGGUCAUUCUGUCUAGGAAUGUGACAUUGCUUGUCUGGUGACUCACUUGCGUGUCGAAGGCGGUCUUUGUUUGGAGGGGUGUUUAUUAUGCUCACAUCAAACUUGGUUAGUAAAUCCAUUCUUUGGGGGGAAUGAGUUUGUUUGCUUGAGAGAGUAUCAGUAGAUGGAGACAGAUUCGGUGGAGGAGUGAGUUUUGUGUGGAAGGAGAAUUUAUAUGAAAGGGGUGAUAGUAAUACCAAGAAAAGGGUUCCCGCCAAAAAAUAUUUGGUUGAGAAUGUAUAAAUUAAUUUUUGGUCUGAUACAAUCUAAGUUGAAUCCUAACUAGUUUGGUUGAGUUAACUAAGUAGAUGUCACUUCCAUUGAGUUUCUUUCAACCACUAUCAGUGGUGUCAGGAGAGUGUGAGGUUGACAUGCUUGAAAAGCAAAACCUGACACCUAUUUUUAAAAAAUUCCAUAAAAAAAGUACAUAUGUUGACUACACACAAGCUUUGGUAUGUUGGUCUAUAAACCUAUGUUCCCUUUCUCAAACGAAAUUGCAUAUGCAAUCCUCAUCCUCCCAAAACAAAGAGGAUUAUUCAAGCAUGUCAACCUCUUCAGGCGCCAACAACACAAUCGAAGAUGACAAAUUGGAGUCGCAGGUUCUAUUUCCACAUUGUACUCGCCGACCCCUUCCUUUUUCAACAUCAUUUGGGAGUGAGGGGGACUCCGAUGAUCCAUUAGAGGCAAUACAUGCAGUCAGUGGCAAGCUGGAUUAUAAUUCCAGACUGAUCAAUUCAUGGCACGAGAAAUGUGUUGAAGACGAGGCAAUUUUGGCUGAUCUUAACAUUAGAGUGAACAAAGCGUUCUCCCAAAAGAACAAGUACUUGAAGCUGAGUCAUAGCAGGAAGCUGAAAGCUGAGGAGUUGGAUACAGUAAUGAAUGAUGAAAUGAAAGGUUGUUUGCUGAACCACAUGCGAUGCGAAGAGCACCAUAGUGAACUGGAGUUGGCAUUCAACGAAGGAUUCGACAAAUUUCGAGCAUUUGCGGCAACUACUCAUACAAGUUAUGAUUGGAACUAUGUGUCCCCUGAUGCUGUGAGAGAGAUACUAGACGAUGGGGGUGACAUGAAUGAGCAUAAGCACGUCAAAGCUGCUCGGAAGAAGCCGACCGAUACGACUAAGUGAUUGCGGCUACCGCUGUUCAGUUGGUUGAGGGUGACCGUGGUAUUGCACAUAUACUCCCUUAAUGUCAUUAUCUAAUUUCAAAUAACACAAAUAUCAGUUUCAUUUGCUUCAUAUAUAAUUAUUGGGACUAUGUAUUGCAAGUCAUCAUGUGUUAUAAUGUCUAACAUUAUAUUUUGCAAAUAUGGAAAUAUUAUUCAAUAAGCAGUCAAUAUCACAGCAAGCCGGGAAUCAGUAAAUGCUCCUUAUCAUGUCCAUUUACAUUAAAGAGCUGGCGUACUAAUGUGUUCAAAAAAAACUGAGACGUGAGUCAUAAGUAACAUAACAUGUGCUAUACAUUGUUUACUGAAUGGUUUAUGGUUUAUUUUUAUAUAAUAAAAUUCCAAAUAUUGCUGAAGAUUUAUUUCGUCUAUAUGACUAGGGAUAUGAGUGGCCAUAAGCAUGUGAGACCUGCUAAGAAGAAGCUGACGAGUACGACCGAGUGAUUGUGGCUACCGUUGUUCAGUUGGUUGGGGAGAUCGUGGUAUUGCUAAGAGGGAGCACAUAAUAUGUUUUGCAAUCAAAUGUUCUUUUGUGUGUGGAAUUAUGAGUAUUUAUGUAAGUUAGUGUACCCUUUAAUAUUUUUCACCUAAGUAUCGAAAUGUAAUUAGCUGCAAUGUUAUGUUUCAUUUUUACACGCUGCUUUCUAUUUGCUCUGUUCCAACAAAGUGCUUCAAGUAUCCUUCAGUUACAAAAGUGUACAAAAUCGUGCCCCUAAUAACCAGUCGUCAAAAGUGGCUACUGCUGGAAAUGAUUACUGGUAAUGGAAACAACAGCUGGCUGCUGGAAAUGCUGCAUUAGCCUGAGGAUUUGAAAAAUGAAUCUCUGUUAAAACAUAAUUCACCCUAAACUGCCCAUUUUACAUGGUAAAGGUCAUUGCUUCUUCACAUAACUACAAAUUUCAUACUUGAUCAAAUGUCUAUGAAAAUUUAUAAAUAGGGAGAAGACGUAAAAUUAACAUGUCUCCAAAUUUCAUGGAAGAAUGAAACCAAGGAAAUUUUCAUUUCAAUUACCAGUGGACAUAGUAAGAGCUCAUCGGUGGACAUGAACAAAAACACAAUAAUAUUCAAAAACUGAAUCUAUAAAACUUCACCUGAUCAUUAAUCUUCAUAACAACCACAUUUCGUCUAAUACAAAUAUAAAUCAUUUAGUUGGUCCGUGCAUCCUGUCAAAAUCGUCGAAUAAUGGGUCACUACGAUGUAUUGGAGUUGAUUCGUCAUUGUUCGACGGUGAUGUCCUGCAUAAACAUCAAACACAAGCACAUAAAAAUUUUACCUUUUCAUAUUUUAGAUGUUAUUACAACUAGUGUUAGCAUCUUACGGUGUGUUCAAGGCUGGGCAUUGUCUUCUAUCAUGACCAAUGUGUCCACACUCCCGACAGUGUCUAAUCCCUCGCUUCAUUGCCUUUUCCUUUGCUCCCGUUACUCCUUUCGACCUUCCUUUGCACCUCACUCUCUUAGGGUCUUUCAUAUAUUGUGUUUGAGAGCUGGACCCUCCAACUUCGUUAUUACUUAGUCCAUCCUUCAGCAACUUUAACUUCACCUGCAAACUUUUUAGAGUCUCUGACAGUAGCUCACAUCCUUCUUCACUCAUUAAUGCAUCCUCAACCACAUCUGAAGCAAGUCGAGACAUUGUACUCCGCUUUAUUAGAAGGCCAGGAUCUGCACAGUCUUUAAUUUCGUUGCCAUUUGCAUCUGACACCAUUCCAGAUUUCGCAGUUUUCUUCCACCUCUUCAAAAUAUAUUUAUCGGGCAUAUAUUCAAUCUGGUCCCUUCUGAACAAUGCUAGGAUGUGCUUGCAAAUAAUUCCAACAAAUUCAAAUCUUUUGCAGCUACACGAUGCGUGGUCAGAAUCUUUGACAUAUACGACUUCUGCCACUCUUGUUUCCCAAUUUUUCCUUUCGCUCACGUUAAAGACAACUUUACAAGCAUCCUCUGUUUUGAGCUCUAGGAAACAUGCUGUACUUUGUAUUAGUUCUUGCUCAAACUUUUGAAACAUUGUCCUUGUGUACAAGGUAGCCAUUUGUUUGUUCAUUGGCAUCGGUAGAAGACAUUGAGCCACUUCAAAUGCAUCUACGUGAUCAGCAACUAACUCUUUUUCACGUUGAUGAGAAAGUGCCCUCUCAAAUCGUAUUAUGAAAUCCAUCAACGAAUUUCUCCUUGAUAUGUAUUGCUUGAAAAAACCAUGAGAACCUUCCGCUCUUUGGCUGCUUGACAUUCCAGCGGCAAAAAAUUGUCGUGCGUAGGCUGGAACCCAAGAUUCCCUUAAAUCAAACAUUGAACUUAGCCAUGGAUGGUCGGUCAAACCAGCCUUUGUAACCACAAUAUUCCAUUUUGCAUCAAACUCAUCCUUAUUGUCAGUAUCCCAUAUGGCUUUCUGAAAUUCACGCCAAUACUCCUUAUAAGCGUCACGUGGUAACUUAACAGAGAACUUUGAUGUGAUGUGCCAUAUGCAAAGUCGAUGAAAUGUACUCGGGAAGGCUAUUGAAAUCGCUAUGGCCAUUGCCGCAUCUUGAUCUGUAAUGAUCGUUUUAGGUUCCCCACCUGGCAUGGCUUUCUUAAACUCCUCAAACAUCCAAACAAACGACUCAGUCGUUUCCUUGCUCAAAAAUGCACAUGCUAAGACAAUUGUUUGACCAUGGUUAUUAACUCCCAACAUUGGUGCAAAUGUCAAGUCGUAUCGAUUCGUGUUGAAUGUGGUAUCGAAUACAACAACAUCUCCAUAAAACCCAUACGCCCGUCUAGAAGUUGCAUCUGCCCAAAAACAUCGACUAAACCUGUCAUGCCCAUCUCCCUCAAUCUUGAAAUAAAAAGCCUCAUUUUUUUUCUGUUCAGCCAUAAAAUACUCGGUCACUAGUUCAACAUCGUGGUUCCUCAGCUUCCCAUUCACACUACAUUCAAGAUUGUAGAUAUCUUUUUUGAUAAAACCGAUUUUAUCCAUUCCUCCGGAUUGCACCUUGAAAAUACUUACCUUAUGAUGAAUGGGAAUAUUAACUGAACCCAACUGUUUUGUGAGUACUUUGUAGAAUCUGAAAUAUGACGGUGUGAUCUCAAUAAAUGCAUUCUUUCUGAGGGUGUCAUCUUAUGAUUGUGUCCCUCUGCAAAAAGAGAUAUGGUAUACUUCUUGCUCCCAUUUGUCUUCACAACCACAAUCUUAGCUUUGCAAUUGCAUCUACUUAUUCCCCGUUGUCUUUUUCUCUCCCGAGUUUCAUCCUUCCUGUAUGCACCUUGUUUGCAACAUACAAAUUCUUUCCUCAAAAUCUCUUUCUUAUUUUUCCCCCAAAAGCUAGAAUGAAGUCGAAUACCAAAGCCAGCAAAGAAUGCAUAUCUAUUAUAGAAAUUGUAAACGAGGUCAAGCGAGUCAAACUUCAUCCCAACUGCUGGUGUUUCCUCAUUUCUUACUUCAGGAAUAUAAACCCUCCCAUUAGCUGUUGCACAUUCAUCACUCUCUGAGCCCCCAGACAUUUUAUCUACGUAUAUUAUUGAUCCACUUCUAUAUUACUGCAUAGCAAUUAUUCAUUCAUUAAUCAGUCAUUACUGCAUCACAACAUAUCAAUGCAUUCCACUUACACAAAACAUUGCCCAAAUUGACACAAAAUACGCAUAGCCUAACUUCCGAUUACACAAAACGCAAGCAAAAUUUCAUAAAAGUUACGUCAUCUCUUGUGAAAUAAUCUGGUCAAAAUAACAUUAGAACCAACAUGUUCAACUAAGAACACAAAUGUAAUUCAAACCACCAAUUACAGAACUUCACCCAAUAUCCUCUCCAACUGCUUACUCCUAAUGUCAUUAAGCCUAAGUUUAGGUUCUUUUACCUACAUUUCAUAAUUUUCCACCCCGACCAACAACAAUGAACUAAGAAUAUUGAAUAUUCAUAAGGAAAUGACACAUUAUUGAUGCCACAAAUGACGAAUUUCCCACCCUCACAAAAGAUAAACCUAACCCAAUAAAAUCAAUCCAGCAAGUGAACUUACCUCUCAAAAUCAAUCGGGAGCUCUGAAGUCAGUCAGCUUGAAAGAAUGUGGUGGACAUUACAGAAGACUCUUUGGUAUUUGAGACUCCAUCUCUACCAAAAUCGAGGAACAACUGCUGCUGCGGCUUCUAGCUACAAAAACAGAUAUGCUACUUUGCUUUCAUCUGGAAUCUUGUCAGCUGAAUGAAAAAGAGAAGGGGUUUUCACUUGAGCCAUAGAAUCAAAACAGGGCAACAGCUAGGUAAGAGCCAUUCUUCGUAAUACCCAGGAUACCAUAGAUCGCAGGCCUCCCAACGAGCUAAUGACAGUCGAGUGACUAUAAGGUUUGGGAGAUUUGGAUCCUUCUAAUUGUGGGUUUGCUUUACAUUCAAAAAGAAAGGAUUGUGUUCUUCAGUUUUUCACAGAGAGGGAAAGAGGGGAACAACUGAAGUUGGGUUUCUAACGGGUUAGAUUUCAACCCGAUUCUACAUGCACCCUCUUUUAAAAACUCACCGUUGGAUGAAAUCCAACGGCUCUUACAUGCCCCUCAAAAACACCCCUUAUAACUUCCCACUCACUAUAGAAGCUCCCCUGUUUGUGUUGUUGAAUUGGGUCUUUUAGUUGUUUUUGUAAACUCUGAUUUAAGUCUAGUUUGGUAUUGCUGUACUUUUAAAAAAAACUACUUCCGCUGUGCUGCUAGAAUACUCAGCUGUAAAAAAAAUUAGUUAUGCUUUUGGUAAACUAUAUUUGAAAAAGUGCUGUGAGUAAUCCAAAUGUUUGGUAAAUGACCAAAAAAAAGUGCUUUUAAUACGUACAAUGACUAAAAAGGACAUGAUGAUGGAACUAUUUGAUUUUUUCUUCAUUCUUUUUCUACUUAAAAAAAACUUCACUACAUAAUUUUUUUUUCUUUUUUUAUUUAUACUAUACACGUGUUCCUCUCUUCUCAAAAAAGUAAAUGCCUUUUGUUAUGUAUUGAAUGCUAACCCAACGACACCAAUUGGAAACCCAACACAGCCCAUCUCUCCACUUCAAUUUUUCUCUUUCUACCAUUUACAAGUUUUUUUUCUUCAUUCCUUCGUCUAACCAAAAAUAUCUCAUGUUUCCCCCAAUUAGUUUUAGUACUUUUGGGUAGGUGAGACUGAAAAGGGGAAAAAUUGUAUGUUGGGUUUAUGUUUUGGUGUUCUUGCAAUGGGAGAUAACAUAGUGGAGAAAGUAGCCAUGGUGAAAAUACAGAUUUCUGGGUUGCAGCCAUGGAGAUUUGAGCUGAUUUACAGUGCUGUAGUGGGGGUAGUUGAAGCCCCCCCAAAGUUGGGACUACUGCAACAGGAUCUUUCCACCCAAAACCAAAAACAAGAACAACAAACUCAGGUGGAACAUGAAACUCAUCACUCUCUCUCUUCCUUCGACUCGGGUUUUCUCUCUUCUUCCUCAAACCUGCGACAAAUAGAAAAACCCCCAAUUUAACAGAGAAAACUCUAGAUGCAGAAAGUUUGAGAAGUAGAAAACCAAAAAACCAUAAUUGUAAUUAAGUUAUUGAUGAAUGGGCAACCUUCUUAGCAAUUAAUUUUUUGAUGUCCACAAUGAGAGUUCCAGCAGCGUCAGAGAGUAGAGAAGGAAAUGAAGGAAAUAGAGUUCACAGAAUGGAGAAGAAAAAAGGGGCAAAAGACCGUCAAUUUGUAAAAUAAGUGAGGGUAUUACGGGAAAGUUAAAAGUUCAUUAAAACAACCGGUUAAAUUUUUUUUGAAGCAGCUUUUAAAAGCUUGGUAGAGACGGCUUCGAAAAAACAGCGAUCAUUGACUGCGAUUUUAAAAAAAAGCAGGAUUCCUGAUGUUUUCCAAACACCCAACUCAUGAAAUUUUUUUAUUAAAGCUGCUUUUUAAGAAAAUUAAACGCUGCCAAACACCACCUUAACCAUUUUCUUUGCGUGUGCCAAAUUUAUAAUUUUGACCAGUGUCAUGCAGGAAAAUGUUUCAUGCUUUGUUAACAGGGGGCUUUCGAUGAGUAUUUUAUUUAGAUGAAAAGUGAUUCAUUCCUUUCCUUUAUGGAUUCAUCUUGUUAGGUUGAUCUAUUGAAGAAUGAGCUUGGAUUUGAUGAGGCUUUUAACUAUAAAGAAGAGGCUGACUUGAAUGCGGCUUUCAAAAGGUGCAUAUGAGUAAUGAUAGAGAGAUUACAUUUAUAAACCCUAGCGGACCAUGAAUAUAAUGAGUCUUAAAUCUAUUAGACAAUUGGUUAGUUGACAGGUGGUAUACAAAGCAGUCUACAAAUGUGAUCUCCCUAUCAUUUUCCGUAAAAUACAUAUUUAUUAUGUUAUACUAGUUUCCUUUAGUAAGAAAAGAAAGGAAAAAAACUAUUAUUAAGAAUUUGUGUGUUGUUAGGGUUCAUCAUUGGGCUGGGCCAACUCAAAAAUUUUGGGUUCGAGCCGAGCCCUCAUGGGCCGAAAUGGGCCAGACUUUUUGUUAAAAAGUCUUUUCAAUCUUUUUGUUACACAUUUCGUUUUUUCAAAAGUGAUGGAUAUAGAGUAUUCUCUUAAACAAUAGUAUAGAUUACUACAUAAUUUAAGAAAACAAAAAUAUAAUAGCCAAACUUUUUUACUAAACCUAGACCAAUAACCAAUAUAUUUAAAAAAUAUUAUACCUAAAAAUGAAUCUUAUGAUGUGCAAUUUGUGCCUUAAUUAACUUAUAUCCCAAAUUAGGAUUGACAUCAUGAAAAUUAAAGCAAUUUGUGCCUUUAAAAUUAAUAAACCCAGAAUAAGCUUUCAAAUUCUUUAUUGAACCGUUAAAUUUGAACUUGACAAAAAAGGGGCACUAAGAGAUAUAGUGCAUAUAUUGCUUGUUUGUUACAAAAUUUUAGACAACAUUGAAAAAAUUAACUUAAUUUAUAACAUGUGUAAACAAAAUAAAAAGUUUAUUAGUUUAUCAUACAUAUUACAUUAUUUUGAUUAAGUAUAAAAUGAGGUUAGGGAAUGCAUCAAUUAAUCUUAAAAAAAUGAAAAGCAUAAGCGGGCGGGCCGAGCGGGCCUAACCAUCUUGCUAGGCUGGACUUUGACCCAUCAAGCCUCGGACUACCCACUUCGGAGCCGCGGGCCAAAUGAUGAUCCCUAUAUGUUGUAUAUGAUGCUUUGAAGCUUGAGCUUUCUUGAGUGAAGGAUAAAUUUUCUUUGUAAUUACCAUACACUUGCCAGGUAUUUCCCUGAAGGCAUUGAUAUUUACUUUGAGAAUGUUGGAGGCAAAACGCUAGACGCAGUGCUCCUCAACAUGAGAGUCCAUGGCCGCAUUGCUGUAUGUGGAAUGAUCUCACAGUACAAUCUUGAUCAAGCAGAAGGGGUAACAAAUUUGAUGCACCUUGUGUAAAAACGUAUCCGCCUCCAUGGAUUUUCGGUAAGAGAUCACUAUCACAUCCAUCCGAAAUUCGUGGAGUUUAUGCUGCCUUACAUUAGGCAAGGAAAGAUUGUUUAUGUGGAAGACAUAGUUGAAGGCCUUGAGAGUGGUCCAAGAGCGCUGGUUGGACUUUUUAAGGGUCUUAACUUUGGAAAACAAGUAGUUGACGUCUCUGCAUGAAUAAGUUGUUUUGUCAAUCGAUUUGGUGUGCUUGUGUUUCUAACCACUAUAACUUUGUUAAGUGGCUCUUUGGUUUUAUUUUUAUGUUUUUGGAUCCUUUUUGGGAUUGCAUAUGUUAAGUGGUGCACUUUGUCAUACAGAAGAUAUUCAUCAAUAAUAAGGGCUAAUUCAGGAUUGUUGUCACUUUUAAAAAAAGAUGCUUCUGUUGUGUUUUGGAAAUAAUAAGCUGUAAAGUAGUUCCAUGCGUGUUAAACAAUAUUUUUAAAGUGUUGUUAGUAUAAAAAGUUAUGUCAAAACCGUUUGGUAAAUUUUGAUAUAAAACUAGUAACUGUUGAUAAUGACUAAAACAUACAUGAUAUGUCGAAAGUGUUACGUGGUAACCAUAUGGUGGUGGUGGCGGUGGUGGUAUAGGUGGAGGUUGAGUUGGUGGUGGUGGUGGAGGUGGAGGUGGUGGUGAGGCGUGCUACGGGCACCAACUUAAAUACUAAUUUAAUGAUACCAACCUAUGUGGCAUAUGACAUGACAAUUUAUGUCAUAUGCCACAUCAUUUUUUUUAUUAGUUAAGUUUUAACAAUUUUUUGUCAGAAUUAACUUAAUUAUUUAGUUUUAAAUAAAUAAAUUCUGCUCCACGCCUCCCUUCCUUCUCGGAUCUACUACCAUGGCCUCCUUCCUCCCCAACUUGUAUGCCCUUAUUAUUACGCACAUUGAAUUUGGCUUUCGGGGUGUGACAUAUUUUUACCAAUCCCAUGAAGCUUUUCUUAUCUUUGAAUGCUUGAGUGCUAACCAUUGUGUGUUUCCCUUGCUUUAGGAAGAUUGCCUCACUCAGCAAGAAUGCAUGGUGAGGUGUUUGUGAAUGGUGCAAAAUCGGUACAUGUACAUGGCCACGACACCGAUAUAUAAAUGAGAAGAGAAUUCCUUGGUCAGUAUCAAUAUUGCGAAACUGUUGCAGCAUUGAAGGGUUGUGUGAACUCCUCGAUUUCAAGCGAAGUCGAAUAUUGCUUGAUGUGGAAGAUGGCUCAAACUAAUAAAAAUGAGGAAAACGGAUCAUACCAACAAAAAUAUGGCAGAUGGCCAGAAUCAAUAUAACCGUGGUCAGAUUUGGGAAGUGAGGCCAUGGCAGAUUCGGAGAGGGAGGGAGGCCAUGGCAGAUCUAUAAAGGAAUGGAGAAACAGAUCACACCUCUUCCCUUCUCCUCAUACCACAACUCAUCAUACACACCCAAUCGAUUUUGAAAUAUUACAUAAAAGUUGUGAUGGCGCUGGAACUGCAGAUUCAGAACGUUUUUUAUAUGCUUCCCACAAGCAGUCAGACAAACCCUUAGAGGACGAGUGACAUCAUUACCUUCUCAACUUACCAAAGAAAGAACUCCUUCCGAAGUGGUAACCACUUGCCGAUGCUCCCAACUACAGAACCAAGUUUCCAUGGACACGUGUCACCUCCACAAUAGUUUGCACAAAGUCCGACAUUGAAACUUUGUGCAAAACUCCCAUUUUCAGGGAACAGUACCUAAGGAAAAGGGGUAACUACUUUUCACAUUUACUGUUACUCUGCCAAAAUUACCACAUAUACUCGCUGACUUAAGUAUUGGAGAGUCUUCGGCAGGUACCACACCAGUGUCCGAAGCUUGACGAUCCCUUCUUCCUUGUUUUCUUAUGCAAGAUCCCUCCAUACCGAAGGUCCACAACCUUCUCCCUUGCUGAAGAUUUAACACUCCUUUAUCUAAGUUAACCCUCCGAAAAAGAGCAUCAACACGCGCAGCACUCAUUAUCUUUCAACAAUCUGAUUAUCUUAUACUAGUUAAUUUAUGGGUUGUUUGAUAACAAUUUCAAUUUUAAUUUUUAGUUUUCAUUUUCAUUUUUUUUGAAAACUGAAAACAUGUUUGGUAUUAGAUUUCGUUUUCAAAUUAAAAAAAAAGUGAAAUCUAGUUUUCAAAAUCACCUUUUUUUUAAAAAACAACUUGGAAGUGUUUUAUGUUUUUUUUUUAUGUUUUUUUUUUUUUUUUUUUUUUUUUUGUGCACUAUUGUUUGUUGGAGUGUUAGUUGACUUUCUUUGCACACCAAGGUUUCCCAUAUUAACUCAUGCAUAGAUUGGAAUUGAUUUCCUACUCUAAAUAGUAUUAGAAGUUAUUAAUUACCUUACUUAGCCUUCAAGGAAUAUUGUAUUAUAAAUAUGGCCUUCUACAAGGAGAAGAAUACACAGAAAAUUCUCACCACAAUUACUCUUUCGUAAUUUUAGCAUUAUUUCAUUCAUAAGUUUCACAUCACCACACAUGAAAUGCACUCCGGUUACCAAAAGUCGGUAUUUGGGACCUCCCAACUUGGACUUGGUCGCUCAAUUCGUGCUUUUGGCCACAAUCCCAAUCCAAACCUCGUCAACUCCAUGUCCAAAGGUCACUAAAAAAUAAUCAUAAUUUUAAAAAAUUCACCAAAAAAUAUUACGAAUUUUUUGUCAUUCCUGCUUUAACUUUACCUUUUGUUUUCAAAUGUUGACCCGUCCCAACCCAACUCUCAAUGCUCGAAGGGUUCUUUCGUGUAGUUAAGAGUUGGGUUUUCCAAGGUAGGUCUAUAUUGAUUCGAACAACUUUGCGGUAUAUCUGUGGGUAAGAUACUGUUCUCAAAGUAGUAAAGGCUGAACUAAAAGGCUAAAUGGGAAAAUGAAUACUUUCUUUUCUCUUCCUCAAGAAACAUACAUCCUCACCACAAGAGAGGGAGAGUUGCUUGGUAUUUUGUUAAAUAAAAUAAAAUAAUUAAUAAUUGAAAAUAGAAAAUGUUUGAAAAGGAUAUUGGGAAUAAAGAGAGAAGAUGCGGGUGUGAGUAAAAUAACAAUAAAAGAAAAUUAAAUCAAAAAUAAAAAAAUAAAAAAAUAAUUAAGUUUUGGGGAGUAGAAAUCGGGAUGGAGGGGGGAGAGAGAGGUUUUUUUUUAAAAAUUUUUUAUUCGUAUUUUAAUCAAUUUUGAUAUUGUUGAGGCCCAAAAAAGUUACGGGAAGCCCAAAGACAUUUAAAGCCCAAUAUAACAUAUAUUCUCAGUCAUGCGUUAAUCCAAGCUGUAAUUCGGAUUUAAUUCAUUAAAUAAAUAUAAAAUAGUGUACAUGUCAUGCUAAACUAAUAAUACAUUUUCCCCAUGCUAAUCACCUAUCAAGCUCACAUGAACCCAAGUCAUGUGAUUUACGGGCUUGCAUGAGGGAUUGUGGUGUGGAAGGUUACGGAGGUCCACAAGGCCCACGGAAGCUCUUGGAUAACAGAGACUUUGGGCUAGCUACUUGAGAGCACCAAAGUCCAAGCCCAUUACUUAGAGUUCUCCAAUGUGGGUGAGCAAAUGAGACAUUUUUCAAGCACUGCCUUUUACCUAUAGGAAAUAGUCAUUUUCCAAAUACCAAGCUUUACCCGUUGGAAACAAGCAUUUUCCAGCACUUCCUAUUACCCAUUGGAAACAAGCAGUUUCCAGUGCUUCCUUUUACCAAUAGGAAAAAAUCUGUUUAUGAUACCUAGCUUUACCUAUUGGAAAAUAGCAUGUCCUAGUCCUCCCUUUUAACCAUUAGAAAUAGGUUGGUUCCAAUACCUCCCUUUACCUAUUGGAAAUAAAGGAAAACCCUCACCCUCUAUAAAUUGGCACUCAUGGCUCAAGCAAAAGGCACCAAUUUUUCUUCAGCCAAUACUUCCUCACUCGGCUACUGCAAGCAUCCCAGCAGCCACCAACCCCCAUAAAGCAUCACCUAGCUCCAAGCUUUUCCUUCCUUCCAAGCUUUAAACACCAUAGCCUUUAAACCUCAAGCUUUUCCUUCCAUCCUCCUUCUCUUGAAACUCUUAAAUCCCCAUAGCCAUAGCCACACACAACAAAUUAUCAACACCAAACUCAAACAUAUCCAACACCAAGCCAAGCACAUGCAUUCUCAUUUGCUAAACUUGUGGGUCUUUAGCUCCUACACUCCAAGCUCUCAUGCUAAGCUCACAUAAUCUCAUACCAACAUCAGCAAGUCAUCUUCAACUCUUCGUCGAGCUGCCGAAAACAUCAACACAAAACAUGCAGCCGUUGGAAGAAGAACAAAGUACUCUCCCGGGACUUGCUUUUCCCUUGGGACACUUUGGGCCUAGUUCUCGCUAACUCAGAUAAAGGAACAACGAAGUCUUCAUUCAUCACUCUAUGGCGACCCAAGAAUCAACAAAGCCCGGAUGAGCCUUCGAACGAAAGUGACCACAUGCAAAGCUCAAGCUUCAAUAGCCAAGCCCAAGCUUUUGGUUCCUAAAAACAUGCUUACGACAGCUGCAACAAACAAUACCUAAGUCACCAUAAGUGAUAUGCCCCAGCGUCUCAAGCACUUUCUAUGCCCUGACAAUUCUAAUGAUCAAGUUUUAGAGUCAAACCAAAAGGCCAUUGGGAUGUCUCAAUUGCCACAAUUCCAUAAUCAAUCAUCAUCAAGCCUCAAGCCUUAUUCAAGAAAUCCAAGCACUAUUCUUUACUCAAGAAGGAAAACAUCUCAGUUCGUGGCAAAUAGAAGGAAAAUACUACGAAGGUACCGGAAGAACCUAAACACUGUCAAGAUGAAGUUUCCUUUACCAAGCAAUCAAAAUUUUUGAAGUGAUGUCAAGCUAUCAAGAAAAAGAGUAAAGUCACUAUGCAACACAACAACCAAAAUAUGCUUGUAGUAACCAAGAUUCAAGCCAAGCAAAAUGUGGAAGAUAAUGAUGCGUUGUAUGAAAUGCUCCUGGAAGAUAACACAAGCCCUAUAGUCAUGCUGCCGGAAGAGUGAACCAUCAUGCCACUAAAUUUGAAAGAGGAGCCCCAUAUCUGAGUACUGGAAGGCAGCGCAGUGGACUCCAAAACUAAGAUCUAGUCCAAGUGACUUAAGGCCUCCAUAUUGCAAUGCUUAUUUGCCAACACCUAUACCGCUUUCAAGCUACUGCAGACACUAUCAUGCUCAAAUCCUUAAGCAUCUCCCAUUGUAUUUUCAUCUUCUAAUCUACCAAAGCCCUCAUGAUUGACCAAGCUAUAUCUUGAUUCAACUCCACCCACUUGCUCUUUACAGCAGCCCAGGCCCAUCUGUAGCUGCCGGAACAAAAAAGCCCCAACGUAAAUGACAAAACCGAAACACUAAAGCACAUCCACCAUGCUAAAUAGCCCAAAAGCUAUAUUAAACCACGACACUUUAGCCAAUACCAAGCGUACAAGCCAAUGCCCAGCAUCCAAGCAUACAAGCCAAAGCUUAGCGUACAAGCCAAUACUAAGCAUACAUGCCAAUGCCAAGCAUACACACCAAUGCCAAGCAUCCAAGCCAAUACCAAGCGUACAAGACAAAGCCAAGCAUACAAGUCAAUACCAAGCAUACAUGCCAAUGCUACGCGUAUACGCCAAUGCCAAGCAUCUAAGCCAAUACCAAGCAUACAAGCCAAAGCCAAGCGUACAAGCCAAUACCAAGCAUAUAUGAGCCCAAGAUCAAGCGUACAUGCCAAUGCCAAGCAUCCAAAUCAAAUACUAAGAAUACAUGUCAACAUCAAGCAUACAUGCCAACACCAAAUAUACACGUAAAAACCAAGGAAGCAAGCACGGAUGUUUCAUGCAUAUUGAAGAACCAGCCAUGUCAUGCCACUGCCAAUUAUUUUGGGCUGAAAUAGAUUAUUGGGCCCAUCUCACUGCCACUUCAUAGCCCCAAUAAUCAAGGGGGCUAAUGUUGAGGCCCAAAAAAGUUACGGGAAGCUCAAAGACAUUCAAAGCCUAAUAUAACCUAUAAUGUCACUCAUGCGUUAAUCCAAGCUGUAAUUUGGAUUUAAUUCAUUAAAUAAAUAUAGAAAUAGUGUACAUGCCAUACCAAAAUAAUAAUACAUUUUUUCCAUGCCAAUCACCUAUCAAGCUCACAUGAACCCAAGUCAUGUGGUUUAUGGGGCUUGCAAGAGGGAUUGUGGUGUGGAAGGUUACGGAGGUCCACAAGGUUCAUGGAAGCUCUUGAAUAAUGGAGACUUUGGGCUAGCUACUUGGGAGCACCAAAGUCCAAGCCCAUUACUUAGAGUUCUCUAAUGUGGGUGAGCAAAUGAGACAUUUUUUAAGCACUUCCUUUUAUCCAUAGGAAAUAGUCAUUUUCCAAAUAUCUAGCUUUACCCGUUGGAAACAAGCCUUUUCCAGCACUUCCUAUUACCCACUGGAAAUAAGCAGUUUCUAUUACUUCCUUUUACCAAUAGGAAAUAAUCUGUUUAUGGUACUAGCUUUACCUGCUGGAAAAUAGUAUGCCCUAGUGCUCCCUUUUAACCAUUAGAAAUAGGUUGGUUCCAGUACCUCCCUUUACCUAUUGGAAAUAAAGGAAAACCCUCACUCUCUAUAAAUUGGCACUCAUGGCUCAAGUAAAAGGCACCAAUUUUUCUUCAGCCAACACUCCCUAACUCAGCUGCUGCAAGCAUCCCAGCAGCCACCAACCCCCAUAAAGCAUCACCUAGCUCCAAGCUUUUCCUUCCUUCCAAGCUUUAAACACCAUAGCCUUCAAACCUCAAGCUUUUCCUUCCAUCAUCUUUCUCUUGAAACUCUUAAAUCCCCAUAGCCAUAGCCACACACAACAAAUUAUCAACACCAAACUCAAACAUAUCCAACACCAAGCCAAGCACAUGCAUUCUCAUUUGCUAAACUUGUGGGUCUUUAGCUCCCACACUCCAAGCUCUCAUGCCAAGCUCAUAUAAUCUCAUACCAACAUCAGCAAGUCAUCUUCAACUCUUCGUCGAGCUGCCGAAAACAUCAACGCAAAACACGCAGCCGAUGGAAGAAGAACAAAGUACUCUCCCGAGACUUGCUUCUCCCUCGGGAUACUUUGGGCCUAGUUCUCGCUAACUCAGACAAAGGGGCAACGAAGUCUUCAUUCAUCACUCUAUGGCGAUCCAAGAAUCAACAAAGCCCGGAUGAGCCUUCGGACGAAAAAGACCCCAACAGAUAUAAAAAUACCAUUUUUCCCCUGCAGUUAACAGAAAAGUUAACAGCCGGACCAUUUGUCCUAACGAAACUGAAGUUGAAGAACUACGGGAACCAUUUUGAAAAUUGAGGUACUCAAAUACAAAUCGGGUCUAAGUUCAGGGAUUAAUAAAACAAUUAACCCCUGAGUUUAUAAUGCUCGAGAGUAUAUAGGAAGAGGACACUCCAACUGGCAGCUAUGGAGGAGGCCAAGACUAGUAGUGUCUAUUCUGUGAAAGCUAACUUUGCUUUCUUAUUAUCCACAACUUAGAUAUAUCAAUGGCUUCUUGCAAGAACCUCAAUUCUUUAUGAACUUUCUGCCCUAAAAUGCUUUAUCUAAUAGCUCAGACAAUGGUGAAAGAAAAAAAAUUGUUGUUGGAAUCUUAGCAUAAUAAUAUUUUCCAGCCAAAAUCAGUUGUUAGAUUCUCCAACAGCACAAUCUCUUUUCGCAAUCACAUACUAGUCAAUCCUACAGAGCAUAAGAUCCUACUUUGAGGGGUGGAAAGGAAUGAAUUCAACUCACCACUAUUAUGACCAAGGCAAUAAUUUUCAUUUCCAUCACAUGAUUCUAGGUGACCCACAACUCCAUACCACCAACCUGCAAUAUAUACAGAAAAUCCUAUCAAGCAAUGGACAAUGGGAAAUUAAUUAAUUUCACCUUUUAUUUAAGUUUCUGCAUAUUAAACGAAUCUACUUUCAUUAUAUAUUUAAGGGAAAUGUAAGCCUUUUUUUUCGUUCUUUACCCUUUUUUUUCCUCACCUUAAUGGGGCUUGAGGAUGUUUGAAUUGUUCGCUAGAACUACUUUCAUUAUCUAUUUGAGGCAUACUUCAUGAACCACAUGGAUUCUAGGAAGUGAUAUAGACCUUUGUUUCUUUCAUUUGAGCCCUUCUAGCCAACCCGUAUCACUUUUAUCCCUUGUUAAUCACCUUGUGCCUUUUAUGUAAGCCUUUUUUUUCGUUCUUUACCCUUUUUUCCUCACCUUAAUCUAUCAUAUGUUACCCUUCUAAGGAGUUUUGUACAGUAUUUUCGUUGUUAAGGGAGAAUUGCACAACAAUCAUGUGGAAAGUAAAGGAUACUAUUUCCAAAAAAAAAACCUAAUUUCAAACCCUUUUCAACUCGAGUUAUUGAGCCCUAUGAGUGUUUUACAUUUAAUUUCGUAAAGCUAUGUAGCUUGGGAGUCAUUGGCCUAACACUCGCUGCAUGGGUUGAUUAGAAAGCUAAUGAAGAGUUAGAAAAAAAAAUUGUGAAAAAUAAAUAAAUUUCAAGACAGUAUCAAUAUGAAGUUGCGUGCUCAAAGUGCAAGAUGUUAUAAUUUUCAUGGAAAGCUCUAUGAAUUCCUUAGAAUUUGUUCAUCCAUAUCUUUUUCUUGUUUCACCCGUCACUCUAAGCCCCAUUACAACCUUAUUUGAAGACUAUUCUGCUAUUUUCUCAAGGCGUGCAAUAUAUGACUGGAAAGAUAAGAUAAAGACCUACAAUUUACAUAUUUUUUCAGAAUUUUCUCGGAGGAGGAAUGAUUCCAAACGUGGGUGCAAAGUAACUAACGUGUUAUCCUAGUCCAAGUAGGAAGAUGAGUCAAUUACUUACCCAUUUUGGAUUUAAGUUUUAAUUAGCUGUUUCUUUAUUUUUGGGCUGUUGUAAAAGGCCAGCUAAGGUAGGAAUAGACGUGUGGCAUUUUAUUUAAGCAUGAGACAACUCCUUUGGGAAGACGCAAAGACUAGGAGAAAUUGGAGACGCCGGAAGAGUACCACAAUUGGCUAAGUUUUAUUGUUUCUUCCUUAUGUUUUUGUUUAUGUCAAAUUCUAUGAUUAUGUGUAACUAAUUUUAUUUUGCUAGGGCAUGAUGUAUGCCUAGUAUGAUAAUCUAGUUUUCUUAUUUUACCUAUCUAUUGAUUGCAGUUUGAUGUUAGAUUCUUAAUCACUGUGCUUAGUACCUUAGUUGAUUACCUUGAUGCUUGAUCACCAUCUAGACUUUUAAUUGAGUUAAUCGGAUGCGAAUUAGAGUAAAUACCAUACUUAAUUUGAGGUUUGCUUCUUGUGAUUAGAAUUUGUAAUUUGUCUAAAGUAAAUACCAUACUCCUAGAAUUUACAUGCUUGUUGGAGGUUUUCACUGAUUUCAAUAUUUUCCCGACAUGUGAUGCCAACAACAUAGAUGUUUCAAUGUUUCACUAUGGAAGCAAUCACGUAAGGAUUAACAUGGCAGGACAUCAGACAUGAGAAACUAAGAAGAGAGAGAGAGAGAGAGAGAGAGACUUGCCAUUCAAGCAAGAGAAGGCCAUAACACUAUAUAGCAAUAGCACCGUAAAAUAAGAUGCAAAGAAUGAGGGGGUCAUGUUUUCAAGUACCAAAACACGCAAGGGCAUUUUGGUAAAGUACAUCUGAAAAUAAAUCAAGGCAAGCAAAGCCGUAGAUAUCCUCUUCCUGCUACACAUAGUAUUAGCCUACGUAAGGUCAUUACGGCGCCGUUUCCCUUUUUAAUUGGCGUAGUUCAACUCAUCAUCCACCCAAGUUCAUUUCGUUCAAAGCUAUAAAUAACCCCUCAAACCAUUCAACUUUCCCACCACCACUCCUCACUCCUUCAACUCAUUAACCUCUCUCUCUCUCUCUCUCUCUCUCUCUCUCUCUCUCAUCCGCAAAUGGCGAACCGUAGAAGCCUCUUUUCUCUCUCACUUAUCUUUGUGUUCAUGAUCAACUCAGCCAUAGCCACUCCAGUCACAUACAAUGUGGCCAGUUUAGGAGCCAAAGCAGAUGGCAAGACUGACUCCACAAAAGCCUUCCUCUCUGCAUGGGCUAAAGCUUGUGCCUCGAUGAAUCCCGGUGUCAUUUAUGUGCCGGCAGGAACGUUCUUUCUUCGCGAUGUGGUGUUCAGUGGGCCUUGCAAGAACAAUGCCAUCACCUUCCGCAUUGCCGGAACCCUUGUGGCCCCGUCGGAUUACCGGGUCAUCGGUAAUGCAGCUAACUGGAUUUUCUUUCACCAUGUAAACGGGGUUACCAUAUCAGGUGGAAUUCUUGACGGCCAAGGCACGGCCUUGUGGGCUUGCAAGGCCUCUCAUGGCGAGAGUUGUCCCAGCGGAGCAACGGUAAUUAAUUCACUACUUUAAAUAUCAUAUUCAUGACACCAUUAAAUAUCAAAUUCAUGACACCAUUAUUUUGUGCUUCAUUAUUAGUGAGAAUUUUAAAGGUCAACGUACGUACAAUUUGCUUUAUUAUUUGCUACCAAUUGAAUUGAGGGUUUAUAAAAUAAGUUCAAACUCCACAGAACGUAAUCAAAUGGACAUGAUAAAUUGUACCACAAGUUUAGCUUGAUCAAGUAAUUUCGUAAUAUGUGCAGACUUUGGGUUUUUCCGACUCAAACAACAUCGUGGUGAGUGGAUUGGCAUCCCUAAACAGCCAAAUGUUCCAUAUAGUCAUCAACGACUGCCAAAAUGUGCAAAUGCAAGGUGUCAGGGUUUCUGCUUCCGGUAAUAGCCCUAACACCGAUGGCAUUCAUGUCCAAAUGUCAUCUGGUGUCACAAUCCUCAACUCCAAGAUUGCAACCGGUGACGAUUGUGUCUCAAUUGGCCCCGGAACCUCAAAUUUGUGGAUAGAAGGCGUUGCUUGUGGACCUGGCCAUGGAAUUAGGUACGACAUCAAAAUUAUAUAUUUAUCCAUGAUUGAUUAAACUAGCUAAAUGCAUACUAUUUCAUAAUAUAUGUUAUAAUGUAUAUCUUUUUUCUUCAUUGCUUAAUGACAUUUGAACUUAGGACAUCUUUCAAUAAAGUGGAGAUUAAUUGAUUGCUAGUAGAGAUUCAUUGCCUACAAAAAGUAUAUCUUUCUUUUGGGUGGAUGUUCUAGUUGUAAAUUUAACAUUGCUUUACUUGAUGGUUCAGCAUUGGAAGUCUAGGCAAGGAGCAAGAAGAGGCCGGUGUACAAAAUGUAACAGUUAAAACGGUUACCUUUAGUGGUACUCAGAAUGGUCUAAGAAUCAAGUCAUGGGGGAGGCCAAGCACUGGGUUUGCUAGAAAUAUUCUUUUCCAACAUGCUACAAUGGUCAAUGUCGAAAAUCCUAUUGUCAUAGAUCAACAUUAUUGCCCCGACAACAAAGGGUGCCCUGGUCAGGUAAGAUAUCAUUCAUGCUCUAAAAAUCAGUUCCCAAAGUUUAAUAUUACAACUCAAUUUUCUCUUCUUCACAUUGAUAAAAACGUUGGCAUCACCAAAUUAUAACUGUCUAAGUUCGAAACAUAUCAAAAGCUUUCUUGGGCUUCCACCUAGAAGAGCCAAUAAUUUUAGGCCCAAAGCAAAUCCAAUAACUCCUUCCUCCAUGGGCUUGCUCUCCUACUACUUACAAAGAUCGAGCCUUGCUCAUUGUAACCUUUGUAACUUAUUAAUGGAAUUGAGGGUUGUAGCUCAAGUGGUUAACAACAUUUACUCUGGUAUUCGAAGUCCUAGAUUUAAUUCCCCUCUUUUCCAAUACCAUUUUUAUCAAAAUGACUUCAUCGUAGCUUAGCCAAAAAAGCAUUGAAUCCCAUUAAGCCGAAUUCCCAUGCUAUAAUACUUGUUCACCUUCUGUUUUAUCAAAAGCUGGAAAUCUGACUUCGUAUUGUUUUUUUUUUCUUUUGUCAAUUUUGUUUUUCAAUAGGUUUCCGGAGUUCAAAUUAGCGAUGUGACAUACGAAGACAUACACGGUACAUCAGCAACAGAAGUUGCAGUAAAAUUUGAUUGCAGUCCCAAGCACCCUUGCAGCGAGAUCAAAUUGGAGGAUGUGAAGCUUACUUACAAGAACCAAGCAGCUGAGUCUUCAUGUAGCCAUGCAGAUGGAACAACUGAGGGUGUGGUUCAGCCUACAAGUUGUUUGUAGAGUGGAAAAAUAUGAACUGCUUGUAGAAGUAUUGAAAUCCAAAAGUUUGCCCUCCAGUACUAAGGACAAAUGAAAAGUGAAUUAUACGAUUUAUAGGAAGAAUAAGCUUGUGGCGUUGGCAGCCUAUUUCGGCUCCCUUGAUCCUGGCCGUUCAAUUAGUUUAGUUUGUUCAAACUCGUCCACUUCGAUGGGUGUUUAUGUUAUAUGAACUGUUGUAAGAUUAUGUCCGGAAGACGUUAAAUUUACAAGAUUAAAUUUUAUUUUGAUGGCUGAUGUGGCAUUUGACAUAGAAUUCAAUAUUCUAUCAAUUUAAUUCACAAUUUUAUUAUAAUCGGAAGCACACAUUAAAUAGUAAAAAUUUGGUUCAAGAAACAAAAGGAUUUCAACACUCGCAUGAACUUUUUGGUUGGAGCAUUUUCUCAUGCCAAAUUUUACCCGUUAAAAAUUUAUUAUGGUAUUUUGACAUUUUGGUUGGAGCAUUUUCUCAUGUCAAAUUUUACCCGUUAAAAAUUUACUAUGAUAUUUUAACAUUUCGAUUGGAGAUGUAUAAAUGUUAAAUAUGCAUUGAUUCAAGAUGCAUUUUUGUUUCUUAUUCUUGAGCUUUGAGCUUUAGGUAAUUAACUUGAAUGCUGUUGGGCACCUUGCACUAGUUGAUUAAAGAAAAAUAGACCCGAAGCAAGAUUCCUUGUAGUUGCCAAUUCGAAGUUUUCUUUAUCGCUACAUACUUACUGGUCUACAACUUCUCUCUCUAAUACAUAAUUUGACAUAAAUAAAUACAAUGAAGAGUGCAUUGACUAAACAAAACAAAACAAAAAAGCAGCACGUAAGCACUUACGUGCAUUUGGUGUAAAAGCUAAAGGCCUCUGAUUUAUGUAAGCAGUUACGCUAAUCAUAUUAUAUUAUAUGUAUCUUGGCUCUGUAAUUGUAACGGAAAUAACACUGUUUUGUUAUUCUCAACCAAUAACACAAUGAUACGUGGAAAAGUUAUUUCACGUGUCAUUGCGUUAUUGGUUGAGAUAUAUCUUUCCCUUUCAAUUUUUGUAAACAUAUAUACCAAAUGUUAUGCUCAAAUAUAUAUUAAUUGUUAGACAUUGUUACCUUAAAAAAAAAAAUGUAUUGCAAAAUACAAGUUUGAUCAUAUGAUUAAUUUAAUUUUGUUGGUGUAAACGUGCAGCCAAUAUAUGGGUAUGGAGUCUCUGGGCACCCAGAUUUGAAGGCAGGUGACUUAGUUUGGGGGACUACCUAUUGGGAAGAGUACAGCCGAAUCCCUGAACCCGAAGGCCUGAUCAAAAUCCAGCACACUGAUGUACCUCUAUCCUAUUAUACUGGAAUUCUUGGUAACAAGUCAAACCUAUUUUAGAUCAUGAUGAUAUGUGUUGGUUUAGAUACGUAAGUGUAUUUUUUGUAAUUUCAUUUCAGGUAUGCCUGGUUUGACCGCUUAUGUUGGUUUCUAUGAAAUUUGUUCUCCUAAGAAAGGAGAACAUGUCUUCAUUUCAGCAGCAGCUGGUGCUGUUGGUCAGCUUGUUGGACAAUUUGCAAAAUUAAUGGGUUGUUAUGUUGUUGGAAGUGCUGGCAGUAAGGAAAAGGUACGAACUUGAGAAAUCUUUGAACUUCAAAUUAAUAUUAUCUACACCAUUUUUUCUUGUUUGGGUUGUAUUUUGCCGUUGUUAUUUGGGCCAACUUUGGUGUUGGUUUGGGUUGGGGCUUCUGUUUGUGUUGUUGAAUUGGGUCUUUUAGUUGUUUUUGUAAACUCUGACUUAACCAUUUUCUUUGCGUGUGCUAAAUUUAUAAUUUUGACCAGUGUCACGCAGGAAAUGUUUCAUGCUUUGUUAACAGGGGACUUUAGAGGAGUAUUUUAUUCAGAUGAAAAGUGAUUCAUUCCUUUCCUUUAUGGAUUCAUCUUGUUAGGUUGAUCUAUUGAAGAAUGAGCUUGGAUUUGAUGAGGCUUUUAACUAUAAAGAAGAGACUGACUUGAAUGCGGCUUUCAAAAGGUACAUAUGAGUAAUGAUAGAGAGAUUAGAUUUAUAAACCCUAGCGUACCAUGAAUACAAUGAGUUUCAACUCUAUUAGACAAGUUGUUAUUUGACAGGUGGUAUACAAAGCAAUCUAUAAAUGUGAUCUCCCUAUUAUUUUUCGUAAAAUACAUAUUUAUUAUGUUAUACUAGUUUCCUUUAGUAAGAAAAGAAAGGAAAAAAACGAUUAUAAAGAAUUUGUGUGUUGUCAGGGUUCGUUAUUCGACUGGGCCAACUCAAAAAUUUUGGGUUCGAGUCGAGCCCUCAUGGGCCUAAAUGGGCCAGACUUUUUGUUUUAGAAAGUCUUUUAAAUCUUUUUGUUACACAUUUCAUUUUUUCAAAAGUGAUGGAUAUAGAGUAUUCUUUUAAACAAUAGUAUAGAUUACUACAUAAUUUAAGAAAACAAAAAUAUAAUGGCCAAACUUUUUUACUAAACCUAGACCAAUAACCAAUAUAUUUAAAAAAUAUUAUACCUAAAAAUGAAUCUUAUAAUGUGCAAUUUGUGCCUUAAUUAACUUAUAUCCCAAAUUAGGAUUGACAUCAUGAAAAUUAAAGCAACUUGUGCCUUUAAAAUUAAUAAACCCAGAAUAAGCUUUCAAAUUCUUUAUUGAACCAUUAAAUUUGAACUUGACAAAAAAGGGGCACUAAGAGAUAUGGUGCAUAUAUUGCUUGUUUGUUACAAAAUUUUAGACAACAUUGAAAAAAUUAACUUAAUUUAUAAUAUGUGUAAACAAAAAAAAAAAAAAAAAAAAAAGCAUAAGGGGGCGGGCCUAACCAUCCUGUUAGGCCGGACUUUGGCCCAUCAGGCCUCGGACUACCCACUUCGGGGCCGCGGGCCAAAUGAUGAUCCUUAUAUGUUGUAUAUGAUGCUUUGAAGCUUGAGCUUUCUUGAGUGAAGAAUAAAUUUUCUUUGUAAUUACCAUACACUUGUCAGGUAUUUCCCUGAAGGCAUUGAUAUUUACUUUGAGAAUGUUGGAGGCAAAACGCUAGACGCAGUGCUCCUCAACAUGAGAGUCCAUGGCCGCAUUGCUGUAUGUGGAAUGGUCUCACAGUACAAUCUUGAUCAAGCAGAAAGGGUAACAAAUUUGAUGCACCUUGUGUACAAACGUAUCCGCCUCCAUCGAUUUUCGGUAAGAGAUCACUAUCACCUCCAUCCGAAAUUCGUGGAGUUUAUGCUGCCUUACAUUAGGCAAGGAAAGAUUGUUUAUGUGGAAGACAUAGUUGAAGGCCUUGAGAGUGGUCCAAGAGCGCUGGUUGGACUUUUUAAGGGUCUUAACUUUGGAAAACAAGUAGUUGACGUCUCUGCAUGAAUAAGUUGUUUUGUCAAUCGAUUUGGUGUGCUUGUGUUUCUAACCACUGUAACUUUGUUAAGUGGCUCUUUGGUUUUAUUUUCAUGUUUUUGGACCCUUUUUGGGAUUGCAUAUGUUAAGUGGUGCACUUUGUCAUACAAAAGAUAUUCAUCAAUAAUAAGGGCUAGUUUGGGAUUGUUGUCAUUUUUAAAAAAAGAUGUUUUUGUUGUGUUUUGGAAAUAAUGAGCUGUAAAGUAGUUCCAUGCUUGUUAAAACAAUAUUUUUAAAGUGUUGUUAGUAUAAACAGCUAUGUCAAAACCGUUUGGUAAAUUUUGAUAUAAAACUAGUAACUGUUGAUAAUGACUAAAACAUACAUGAUAUGUCGAAAGUGUUACGUGGUAACUAUGUGGUGGUGGUGGUGGUGGUAUAGGUGGAGGUUGAGUUGGUGGUGGUGGUGAAGGUGGUGGGUGGUGGGGGAAGUGAUGUUAGUGCAUGUGGUGGUGGUUUGUAGUGGUUGUGGUGGUAUAGGUGGAGGUGGAAGUAGAGGUGGAGUUGGUGGUAGAGGUGAUGGGUGGUGGUAGUGGUAAAUGUCAAAUCGAGGUACGAGUGAUCAAAUAAGUGUACAAUAAAAGUUCUUGGGAAUUAGAUUGAUAACAGUGUUUUACGAAUCAUAUUUAACAAGAAAAUCGAGACAUAUUUUCACAUUUAUUGAGCCAUAUGGGUCACAUAGGAUAAUCAAGUCGGCAAUAAAGCUUGGGUGGUAUGACAUCCUCUAUAGGCCUAGAAGUGUGAUAUAAAGGCACAAGGUUUGGCAAAUUCUGUAGUUGAAUUACCACAUCGACUUACAGAGGUGUGAUACGGGCAUCAACUUAAAUACCAAUUUAAUGAUACCAACUUAUGUGGCACAUGACAUAACAAUUUAUGUCAUAUGCCACAUCAUUUUUUUUAUUAAUUAAGUUUUAACCAUUUUUUUGUCAGAAUUAACUUAAUUAUUUAGUUUUAAAUAAAUAAAUUCUGCUCCACGCCUCCCUUCCUUCUCGGAUCUACUACCAUGGCCUCCUUCCUCCCCAACUUGUAUGCCCUUAUUAUUACGCACAUUGAAUUUGGCUUUCGGGGUGUGACAUAUUUUUACCAAUCCCAUGAAGCUUUUCUUAUCUUUGAAUGCUUGAGUGCUAACCAUUGUGUGUUUCCCUUGCUUUAGGAAGAUUGCCUCACUCAGCAAGAAUGCAUGGUGAGGUGUUUGUGAAUGGUGCAAAAUCGGUACAUGUACAUGGCCACGACACCGAUAUAUAAAUGAGAAGAGAAUUCCUUGGUCAGUAUCAAUAUUGCGAAACUGUUGCAGCAUUGAAGGGUUGUGUGAACUCCUCGAUUUCAAGCGAAGUCGAAUAUUGCUUGAUGUGGAAGAUGGCUCAAACUAAUAAAAAUGAGGAAAACGGAUCAUACCAACAAAAAUAUGGCAGAUGGCCAGAAUCAAUAUAACCGUGGUCAGAUUUGGGAAGUGAGGCCAUGGCAGAUUCGGAGAGGGAGGGAGGCCAUGGCAGAUCUAUAAAGGAAUGGAGAAACAGAUCAUACCUCUUCCCUUCUCCUCAUACCAGAAUUCAUCAUACACACCCAAUCGAUUUUGAAAUAUUACAUAAAAGUUGUGAUGGUCCUGGAACUGCAGAUUAAGAACGCUUUUUAUAUGCUUCCCACGAGCAUUCAGACAAACCCUUAGAGGGCGAGUGACAUCAUAACCUUCUCAACUUACCAAAGGAAGACCUCCUUCCGAAGUGGUAACCACUUGCUGAUGCUCCCAACUACAGAACCUAGUUUCCAUGAACACGUGUCACCUCCACAAUAGUUUGCACAAAGUCCCACAUCGAAAUUUUGUGCAAAACUCCCAUUUUCAAGGAACAGUGCCCAAAGAAAAAGGAGUAAAUACUUUUCACCUUUACUGUUACUCUGCCAAAAUUACCACAUAUACUCGCUGACUUAAGCAAUGGAGAGCCUUCGGCAGGUACCACACCGGUGUCCGAAGCUUGACGAUCCCUUCUUCCUUGUUUCCUUUUGCAAGAUCCCUCCAUACCGAAGGUCCACAACCUUCUCCCCUGCUGAAGAUUUAACCCUCAUUUAUCUAAGUUAACCCUCUGAAAAAAAGCAUCAACACACACAACACUCAUUAUCUUUCAGCAAUCUGAUUAUCUUACACUAGUUAAUUUAUGGGUUGUUUGAUAACCAUUUCAAUUUUAAUUUUUAGUUUUCAUUUUAAUUUUUUGUGAAAACUGAAAACAUGUUUGGUAUUAGAUUUCGUUUUCAAAUUAAAAAAAAGUGAAAUCUAGUUUUCAAAUUUUAAAAAAGUGAAAUCUAGUUUUCAAAAUCACCUUUAUUUUUUAAAACAACUUGGAAGUGUUUUAUGUUUUUUUUUUUUUUUUUUUUUUUUGGCACUAUUGUUUGUUGGAGUGUUAGUUGACUUUCCUUGCACACCAAGGUUUCCCAUAUUAACUCAUGCAUAGAUUGGGAUUGAUUUCCUACUCUAAAUAGUAUUAGAAGUUAUUACUUACCUUACUUGGCCUUCAAGGAAUAUUGUAUUAUAAAUAUGGCCUUCUACAAGGAGAAGAAUACACAGAAAAUUCUCACCACAAUUACUCUUUCAUAAUUUUAGCAUUAUUUCAUUCAUAAGUUUCACAUCACCACACAUGAAAUGCACUCCAGUUACCAAAAGUCGGUAUUUGGGACCUCCCAACUUGGACUUGGUCGCUCAAUUCGUGCUUUUGGCCACAAUCCCAAUCCAAACCUUGUCAACUCCAUGUCCAAAGGUCACUAAAAAAUAAUCAUAAUUUUAAAAAAUUCAUCAAAAAAUAUUACGAAUUUUUUGUCAUUCCUGCUUUAACUUUACCUUUUGUUUUCAAAUGUUGACCCGACCCAACCCAACUCUCAAUGCCCGAAGGGUUCUAUCGUGUAGUUAAGAGUUGGGUUUUCCAAGGUGGGUCUAUAUUGAUUCGCACAGCUUUGCGGUAUAUCUGUGGGUAAGAUACUGAUCUCAAAGUAGUAAAGGCUGAACUAAAAGGCUAAAUGGGAAAAGGAAUACUUUCUUUUCUCUUCCUCAAGAAACAUACAUCCUCACCACAAGAGAGGGAGAGUUGCUUGGUAUUUUGUUAAAUAAAAUAAAAUAAUUAAUAAUUGAAAAUCGAAAAUGUUUGAAAAGGAUAUUGGGAAUAAAGAGAGAAGAUGCGGGUGUGCGUAAAAUAACAAUAAAAGAAAAUCAUAUCUUUAAAAUAACAAUAAAAGAAAAUCAAAUAAAAAAUCAACAAAAAAAAAAAGAAAAAUUAAGUUUUAGGGAGUAGAAAUCGGGAUGGAGGGGGGAGACAGAGUUUUUUUUAAAAAUUUUAUUCAUAUUUUAAUCAAUUUUGAUAUUGUUGAGGCCCAAAAAAGUUACGGGAAACCCAAAGACAUUUAAAGCCCAAUAUAACAUAUAAUGUCAGUCAUGUGUUAAUCCAAGCUGUAAUUUGGAUUUAAUUCAUUAAAUAAAUAUAGAAAUAGUGUACAUGUCAUGUCAAACUAAUAAUACAUUUUUCCCAUGCCAAUCACCUAUCAAGCUCACAUGAACCCAAGUCAUGUGGUUUACGGGGCUUGCACGAGGGAUUGUGGUGUGGAAGGUUACGGAGGUCCACAAGGCCCACGGAAGCUCUUGGAUAAUGGAGACUUUGGGCUAGCUACUUGGGAGCACCAAAGUCCAAGCCCAUUACUUAGAGUUCUCCAAUGUUGGUGAGCAAAUUGUACAUUUUUCAAGCACUUCCCUUUACCCAUAGGAAAUAGUCAUUUUCCAAAUACCUAGCUUUACCGGUUGGAAAUAAGCCUUUUCCAGCACUUCCUAUUACCCACUGGAAACAAGUAGUUUCCAGUGCUUCCUUUUACCAAUAGGAAAUAAUCAAUUUAUGGUACCUAGCUUUACCUGCUAGAAAAUAGCAUGACCUAGUGCUCCUUUUUAACCAUUAGAAAUAGGUUGGUUUCAGUACCUCCCUUUACCUAUUGGAAAUAAAGGAAAACUCUCACCCUCUAUAAAUUGGCAUUCAUGGCUCAAGCAAAAGGCACCAAUUUUUUUUCAACCAACACUCCCUCACUCGGCUGCUGCAAGCAUCCCAGCAGCCACUAACCCCCAUAAAGCAUCACCUAGCUCCAAGUUUUUCCUUCCUUCCAAGCUUUAAACAUCAUAGCCUUCAAACCUCAAGCUUUUCCUUCCAUCCUCCUCCUCUUGAAACUCUUAGAUCCCCAUAGCCAUAGCCACACACAACAAAUUAUCAACACCAAACUCAAACAUAUCUAACACCAAGCCAAGCACAUGCAUUCUCAUUUGCUAAACUUGUGGGUCUUUAGCUCCCACACUCCAAGCUUUCAUGCCAAGCUCACAUAAUCUCAUACCAACAUCAGCAAGUCAUCUUCAACUCUUCGUCGAGCUGCCGAAAACAUCAACACAAAACACGCAGCUGCUAGAAGAAGAACAAAGUACUCUCCCAGGACUUGCUUCUCCCUCGGGAUAUUUUGGGCCUAGUUCUCGCUAGCUCAGACAAAGGGGCAACGAAGUCUUCAUUCAUCACUCUAUGGCAAUCCAAGAAUCAACAAAGCCCGAAUGAGCCUUCGGACGAAAAAGACCCCAACAUAAAUGGUGACUCUGCUGGGGACUAGGCUAUUACUCUUACAAUGGCUUCUCCACAUAAGAUUUAAGUCACGUCGAUGCAAUAUACCAAAGAUAAGAGUGUUUUCUCCUUUGUUUCUUUUUUCUUAGCUCUGUAGAGCAACCCAAAAAAAAAAAUGUUGGUAACAUUAUCUCUUUCUCUGUUUCUUAGAUCUAUGUUCUCAAGCUAAAUGAAAUUUUGUGAAAUGACCCCUGGGGUUGAGGCAAAUCAAGCAUUCGUGCCACUGAGGUACCGGAGACACCAAAGCAAACUCCACAACCGUCCUCAAAUUCAAUUGACUUAGGGGCUUCAUGCCAAGAAAAUUUGAUGCCAAAAUCAAAGAAAAAGUUUUCAAACUUGAGAGAAACAGAGCAUACAAAGUAGAGAAGAGAAAUAAAAACUUGAGCAGAAGAAGGUUGAGCUCAACAUCCAUUCACAGCCUGGGGGCUUUAGCCAACAUGCAAGCCGUUGACCACCAUCGUCAACUAUUGAGGCUAGCCCCGUCGUUCACCUUCCACCGUGAAACAUCAUCAGCAAAUCUAGCCAUCGCCGUAAGUCACCUUCGUAGCAGCCCUCACCUCUCUAGAGUUGUGCAAACACGAUGAGAAAGGGAGAAGGAACACUUGCUCAAUGCUCUCAGCCUCAUCUCUGCGAAUGGCUUCACCAAGAUAAGAUUUUGUUGUCUCAUUAAUCUCAAUAUAUCAUAUAUAUUUGUUUACUGUUUUAAUAUAUUCAUAACAUUUAUGUUUCAUUGAAUUGUCUUAAGCAUAGACAAAAGCACGUGGGUUGGUCUACCCAAGUCAAAAAGAUUGAUUGAUUAGUUAUUAUUAUACUCUGAUGCAUUAUAUGGUGCACCAGCUUGCAUCAUUUUCUUAUUAUUUAUUGAUCCACUACUAUUAUUUUACUUGUCACUUGCAUUAUUAUAUUGUAUCAUUAUCUUGUUUAGUGUGUGAGUCAAAUAAGUCACACCACCUUUUUGACUAACACAUGCUAUUCUAUUAGCCUACUUAUGGCUAUGGGUUAUAUUAUUUAUGUGGAGCAUGUGAUUAUUUGCUCCAUAAAGUUUGUAGAAGUUACACACUGUCAAAAACACAUUAUCACAUAUUUUGGUUAUUACUUUAACCAAGUCUUAAUCAUAUAUAUCUUUUUUUUUUAAAGAGCUUCAUCUUUGCAAUCCAAGCUUAAUUCAUUUGCACUGUUAAUCUGGAUUAAUAUAUCAUUCAAAUGGAUUGAUCCAUCCUUCAAGUGGAGUAAUCCAUAUUUAAUAUGUAUUAAUCUACCUUUUUAAUUUUGCAUCUCCAGCAAAAUUUCUCAGGGCCUUAUUCCAUGCACUAUUCACUUAUCUUGUACUUCUUAUCAUUUCGUAUUGAUCCACCUUUGUGUUGAUCAAUCCAUGUUACACAUUGUAAUGUAGAUGCCAACUAUGCAUGCUCAGGACUAGAACAAUACAUGCUCGGCAUGCUUAUGUCAACUAUGUUAGUCAUUUGCAAGCUACAAUGCUUAUAUUAUUUUUGUAAUCAUCGUAUGCUUUGGUCAUGCAGCAUUAUAUCAGUCAAGUGUAAAGGACCCAACCUCCAAACAGCAAACAACUCAUGCUCUUUCCAAGACUAGUGCCUCGGUCCUAUGUCUACACAAGCAAGCUAAAACCAAUAUUAAAAAAAAUAUCCAAGGAGGCAAUGCACACAGCUCCUAAUAUCUCCGAGAGCAGCUUUUCCAUACUCCCACAAGCUCCUUCAAUACACUCUAUAUCAAUACAUUUGUUUGUGGGUCAACCCACAUGGGCAUGCAAAACAUAUUAGGCAAGCAAAACAUAUUAGGCAAGCAAAACCAUGCCAAGUAUUUUAUUUACAGGCCUAGCAUUUUAAUCGAGCAAAAUAUCAAAUAGAUAACAUGCCAUAACAUACCAGGCAAAAUUGUCAAAUCAACAAGCCAUCACAAUAGCAAGGGACCCCCUAUUUUAGUUGUCUCCUACUUGGAUAAAGAAUCUGAGCUGUUGGACAAGAUAUUCAUAUCCACCAACAUGUGUGAAGACAUAGAGGCUGUUUCUUUUAUGCUCUCAUGUACUGGAUGUAGAGGAGCUGGUCUCAAGAGAAAUCAUGCCAAGAAGAAACAAUCCAUCUCCAAAACCAUGCAACUCAAGAUUUCACUUAUUGCAAUCACCAUCAGCAGCAACUCCAAAACCACAAAUGAGCUUAAAAUCCAUUAUUACCAAAACCACUAUCCCAAGAUCAAAAAUCUCCUUGAAAUUCCAAUUAUGUCACUAUGACCUCCAAGUUUGCCACCACUUGCAAGAACUCAAGCUGUUGUAACCCAACACAUUUGCUGC